UUUUAUUUUUGUGUAAAACAUCCAAAUAAUUCGAAAAGUACAGUUGUUUUGCUUGCAACGUCUGGUAGAGAAAAUCAGGCAAAACCCCGGAGGUUUUAGGUAGUAUUAAGCCCAAACAAAAAGCAGGCCUUUCUCGGCCCAUCUUUCCAUCUACACCCCUGCGCUCGACUGAUAGCCUGCCGCCGGCUCUGGUCCGCCACCGCUCGCCACGGUCGCGUACUCCACUCCGAGCAGGCUCGUCAGGGAACAGGAAAGCAAGUGCAGACUCCCACUCCCACUCCCGCGCGCCGCGGCCGGCGGCGGCGACGGGGCCGCUGCCAUGGCGGAGCUGCGGCACUCGACGGCGGCGCGCGCGUCCAACUCCCCCGCCAAGCGCGACUCCGACGCCUCCGCCGCGUCGUCCCCAUUCCUCGCCUCCCCCUCCGCCCGCGGCAGCCGCGGCGGCGACGGAGACGACGGCAAGGACACCCACCGCUCGUCCCCUCUCCUCUCGCACCAACACCACAAGCGCGUCCACCUGCUGACGUCCCCGUUCCGCUCCCUCCUCGCCCUCGAGGACCCCAGGUCCCCUGCCGCCUCGUCCUCCUACCGGAUCCUUCUUGCCCUCCUCGCGCUCCUGCUCGCCACCGGCAUCUUCUGCGCACCCUUGCUUUGGUCCCGCCUCGUGAGCUGCUGGCCCCCCUACCGAAUCUUCACAAUGCCAUUCAGUUUCGUCAGGAUUCUGACUUGCCACUGACAUUUUGUUGUUGUUGUUGUUGUUUCCUGUCUGGUCCUAGAACACGCCUUACUUGUGCCACAAGGAGGGGAUCACGCUUCAUUGCCCUGAGGUGAAGUGUGCUUAAUUGGCUAAUUGCUGCAGACGUUUUGGGACUCGUGCUUGCUUCAGGAACAUUUGGUCUGAAGAAUUUCUGCUUUGGGUGCAGACGAAGGAACCCCUCUCGCUAUGGGAGAAUCCACGUGCUGCCACAACAUCUUGGAAGCCCUGUGCAGAGCGACGUAGUGAUGAGCCCUCAGGUAAGUCCACCAUUCAUGUUGCUUGAAGACAACAAUAUACUCCCUCCGUCCAAAAAGAAUGCAACUCUUGCAUCUCGAGCAAGUAAUUUCAAAUUUCACCAAAUCUAUACAAAAUAGUAUUAGCAUUUAUAUUACAAAAUAAGUAUCAUUAGAUUAAUCAUUUAAUAUAUUUUAUACUAAAUCUAUUUGGAGACAUAAAUGUUAGUAAUUUUUUGUAUAAAUUUGGUCAAAUUUAAAACUGUUUGACUUCUUGGGGAGUGAGAGUUGCAUUCUUUUGGAGACAGAGGGAGUAACAUUUUUUUUAAAUAAAGGAAAAUCCCGGCCUUGAACAUUCACAUGUGAAUGUCUAUAGCCGAACGUUACAAGAGUUCUUAGACUCUAGACCUCAAACGAGGAUAAAAAAUAAGAAAGAAAACUCUAAAACAAAGAAAGAAAUCAAGAAGACUAAGCUUCAAUCCUUCACUUCGUCCACGUUCCAUCCUUGCAAAACCUUUACGCUGCACCAAACCAUCACAUCACUUGUCUUCUUAGAAACUCGAUGUUCGAACUGUCUGAUGCCACCGAGGUAACUAAGUCGGAUCGAAGGACCUCCAAGACGAUGCUCCAAGAAGAAAACGACAUCAAAGACGCCGUCGCCGCCUCAUCCAGCAAGCCAGAAUUGAGUUUUCACCCGGAGAUCCAUCAAAAUUUGUGUAGAUAGCGCAUCGGCAAUGCCUCCAAGAAGGAAAUCGGCGCAAGAAGCGUUGCCAUUGCCGGCCGGCGUGAGGCCGGACUGGGAUUUCUCCUUGCGCUCCCCGAAGCCACCUCCGCACGCCAGCGUCCACCAGGAGCACCUGCCACGGCCAGCCUUCGAGGCCGACUCUCCACCAACGGACUGUAGAUGCCAUUGCUGCCUUCCAAUCCCGCAGUCACUCCGGCAUCAUGGCCGAGCCUCCCCCCGGACAGGGUCCAGCAGGCACGCCGCCGCCGCGUAGCGGUCGCACGGCCGCCCCGUCAUGGUAGCGCCGGGAGGGAGUAACAUACAAUAUACAUUUCAUCCUUGCUUUAUACUGCACGCAAUCACUGAAGGUCAGUGACCUUGAUUGUGCAAAUUUUGACCUCUUGGUUGACUAGUGUACUGUGAUGCGGCAAGCAAUCUGAUAGGCCCGCUAAAACCUGAUUUCCCAAUUUUUCUAGAAAACACGCCAAUUUUUUGUCUGUAGUUCCAUGUUAGACGCCAGACUUAUGAGACAUAAAGGCCUUGUUGUUUGUAUAAAAAAUGUGCCUUCAAGCAUCAUCCACCAUUUGUUUCCCUUCAUGAUUGGGUCCUGAUGGCUGAUGAUAUCAUGUAUAUAUCAUGCAGAUGUCCCGUCUGAGAAGGAAACCUCUGGGUAUAUUUUUAUUCAUGCCGAAGGAGGACUAAACCAGCAACGCAUAGCUGUAUGUAUGCACUUAUGUUCUCCUCAGACUCCCUCUCAUAGCUGUUUGUGUUAGUUCUGAAUAUUUGUUUUGAUGUUGCAGUUUCUUUUGUAGUCUAAGCUGAAUUUUUCUGAUACCUAUUGAUGUCCUCAAACUUUGUUAUAUGAUAAUUUUAAAAAUAUGUUUCAAUGUAACUUUGUAACUCCUUUUGAUUGCUUGUGUUAGCGGUGACCUAGGAAAUCUUGUUUAGAAAAAUCCUGUUAAGCAGUGACCUAGGAAAUCUUGUUUAGAAAAAUCCUGUUGUUUAAUAUUAGAAUCCCUCUUAAGCAGAUCAUGCCUCUUUCUUGAGCAGUGUUUAUUAGUUUUCUAAAAUGCACAGAGUUUCAGCUACUUCUGUCAAAAGGUUUAAGUAGCAUCAGUGACCCAUCAGUUAAUUACCCAUAUUUGGUGUUUUUGGCUUCUGCAGAUAUGUAAUGCUGUUGCUAUUGCUAAGAUAAUGAGUGCAACACUUAUUUUGCCAGUUCUGAAGCAGGAUCAGAUAUGGAAAGACCAAACGUAAGUUCCGUUUCCUGUUCUAUUAUAUUUCACUGCUGUUAUUCAGGUGAUUGUUCUAUCAUAUAAAAUCUGGUCCAUAAAUCUAUAGAACUUCUAUCUUCUAGAAACUGAACAUAGCAUUCUACUAGAACACUAAAAAUGAACUUCUAUUCUUUCACCAAAGCUGCAACCUUGUCAGGGUUAUUGAAACUUGAAACUUACUUCUUGUUAGUUGUCAGAAGUCCAAGUGCUCGUGUUCCAAAAAUCUGUAAUCAAAAUACUUUUGCUAAGUAGCCAUUUUCUAGGUUAAAAUAUGCGGAGUAAUUAUCUGUGUAACAUACAUCUUUACUGAGUAUUAAUUUCUUAUAGAGGAUGAUUUGAUUUGCUAUGCUGUUACUUAAUUUUCAAAGUAUGUGCUUCUAAAUGUGACUGCCUCAUUUAUUAUGCUUCUCCUAUGAUUAUGGUACUGUCUUGUCACAAGAACAUCCUGAUUGUGGGCUGUAUUGGUGAAGCUGUGAUUACUGGAAAAAAUAUACGUGUAGUUGAUUAAUAAAAUAUCUACCAAACGUGCCAAAAUGUAUUUUUGACCUGAAAAUUUUGCAGCCAUUGAUAUAUAGAUCAAUAUAUAGUUGAUAAAUCAGCUAAGGAAACUCUUGAUCUGUGAUGUAAAUGCAUUCAAAUAGUAUACAGAUUAUAGAGACUAGGGCUCCAAGGCCCAAUCAUCUUUGACACAUUUGAAGUAGUUGUAGUGGUGAAAUUUGCAAGCAUGGAAGUUUGCAAUAUGAUGUAACAGUAGGUCUGAAGUUUCCUUGGUUCCAUAUUGCCACUGUACAGUGAAGUAGUCGCUAUGAGAUACACCACAUAUUCAUGAUUUCCUUAGAGCCCUUUACAUAUGUUGUGUUUUGCUUUUCUGAAAUAUUGCCUACAUUGUUGGGAACAUUUGCCUUUUCUACAGGAAAUUUGAAGAUAUCUUUGAUGUCGAUCAUUUUAUAAACUAUCUGAAGGAUGAUGUACGCAUUGUCCGAGACAUCCCAGACUGGUUCACAGAAAAAGAUGAGCUUUUCACCAGCAUAAAGUAGGUGCUACAUUUUGGUUUGAUCAUUGUCUUAACUACCUUAACUCAGAAAUUGAUCUUGCUAUAUGCAACCACUGUUGACAUGGAACUUUGUAUAUUUCUCACCUCUUUAAAUGCCGCUGUGCAUAUUUUCUUCUAAUACUGUAAUAUGAAUGUUUGAGACCAACCGACUUUAUUACAUUCGUAUUUUAUUCUAUUGCUCCCCCCCCCCCCCCCUCCUCUCUGUUGGACUUUUUUUUUCAUAAUAUGUAUUGAAUUAUGUGUCUAUAACAGGCGAACUGUGAAGAACGUUCCAAAAUAUGCAUCUGCCCAAUUUUAUAUUGAUAAUGUACUUCCAAGGAUCAAAGAGAAAAAGAUAAUGUCCAUUAAGCCAUUUGUCGACAGGUUGGGGUAGGUAAACAUUUGAAUGCAAUUAUUUUUGUAAUUCAUUCAGUUUUGUUAUUCCAUGAUGUCAGAAAGGUUGCUCUACAAUUUAUCAUAUUGGAAGAAUCUGAACCUAAUGUAAAGCUUCAAAUUUCAGGUACGAUAAUGUUCCGAUGGAGAUUAACCGGCUAAGAUGCAGAGUCAACUACCAUGCUCUAAAGUUCCUACCUCAUAUUGAAGAAAUGGCUGAUAAGCUUACGGCAAGGAUGAGGAACCGAACUGGCAGUGUAAAUCCAUACAUGUAAGCUAUAGUUAACUAUCUUCUAUCCAACCUAGCUGAAGUUUGGCAGUCUCACGUUUGUUUCACUAUCAAAUAUGGCACUUCUUUUGAAGGGCUCUUCAUCUGAGAUUUGAGAAAGGGAUGGUGGGCCUUUCUUUCUGUGAUUUUACUGGCACGCGGGAGGAGAAGGAAAUGAUGGCUGCUUACAGGCAGAAAGAAUGGCCAAGGCGCUACAAGGUCAGACAAACCCUGAGAAAUCUGUUGUGUUGAGUUUUUCUCUAAAACCUUGAGGACAUGAAGUCAUGAACCACACACUUUAUACCAUUUUAACAAAUUCCUAUUGUUUUGUGCUUGCAGAAUGGAUCCCAUCUAUGGCCGCUGGCGCUUCAGAAGAGAAAAGAAGGGCGUUGCCCUCUUGAGCCCGGUGAGAUUGCUGUGAUCCUGCGAGCACUGGGGUACACGAGUGGAACACAGAUAUACGUUGCGUCAGGGCAAGUGUAUGGCGGCAAGAACCGGAUGGCUCCCCUCAGGAACAUGUUCCCCAACUUGGUAAGCUCAAAUCCACAGCUCAGUUGAAAACACAAUUUUCCGCCGUACUCGAAAAAAGGACGGCAAAAGCAUUGCAUAAACUUUCUGUUUCCUUGAAGCCAUGAAACAAGAUGGCCAUUCUAUUCCACCAAGCUAAGACCAUCCAUACCAGCCAGCCAUGGUGAUGGUGACCUGCAUUGGCAUUGCUCAUCGCUGCAGGUGACGAAAGAGGAGCUGGCGAGCGCGGAGGAGAUGGCGCCGUUCCGGCGGCACGUGACGAGCCUGGCGGCGCUGGACUUCCUGGUGUGCCUGCGGUCGGACGUGUUCGUGAUGACGCACGGCGGCAACUUCGCCAAGCUCAUUAUCGGGGCGCGCCGCUACGCGGGGCACCGCCUCAAGUCGGUGAAGCCGGACAAGGGGCUCAUGUCCAAGUCCCUGGGCGACCCCGACAUGGGCUGGGCCUCCUUCGCCGAGGACGUCGUCGUCUCGCACCGCACGCGCACGGGCCUCCCGGAGCCCACCUUCCCCAGCUACGAUCUCUGGGAGAACCCGCUCACGCCCUGCAUGUGCAGGGCCUGACUCAGGACUGAGCCCCUGAGGUCCUGAACCAAACACCUUCUGGAGCCCUUCACCUACUAGAACUACUAGUCAGUUACAAUUCCCUGGCCAAGCAUUCUCUCAUCAGCAGCUAUGCUUCCAUUCCAUUAGCUCAGCAUUUGCAAUUUCUGCAUGUUUUGUGGCCUAAUCUGUAGUCUCACAUAGAUCGGUUCUUGCUGAAAAUAGUCCAAGAACUUGGACAGAUCAGUGAAAAGAUAAAGUAUCAGUUGAAACGCUCUCCAAAAUUCUCUUCGGAUUUGCCAAACAGAUCCACUAGACUAAUCUUGCCAGAGUGUUUCGGGCCAGAGUUUUGCGGAGACACGAGUACUCCGUAGUAAUACUAGAUUUGGCUGGCGACAUGAUGUGGACUACUAGAGAACUCAUCGGUGAACUCGCUGGUCGUGACGUUUCUUUCCACGCGGCAGCUCGGCAUGGCCAUGCAGCCUCUGUGCUCGACACGUCCUCCUGCCUCUCGAAGCACUCGAAAGUUAUUUAGAACUCGAUUGGGUACAGGGUUCUCGAACGAGCCUGGCUCGCUAAUCUCGCGCACAGGAGAGGCGAAGAGCCGCUACUACUACUAGCUAGAGUGGUCAGCAAUGGCGCAGCUGAGAGCACCCGCCGACGAGCAGCGGCAGCAGGAGGCGCUGCACAGCGAGAAGGACGACGUCGCCGGCGGCGGCGGCGGCAACGAGAGCAACAAGAAGGCGCGCGCGGGGCUCUGCGGCGUGCUCCGUGAGCGCAAGGUGGUGGACCUGGCGCGCGCCAAGCGCCGGCUGGUGGAGGUCCCCUACACUGCGACGCUGGCGCACACGGCCAACGCGCUCCUCGCGGCGCGCGUCUCCGCGGUCGCCGUGGCCGCGCCGCCGGGCCACUGGAUCGGCGCCGGCGGGUCCAUGAUCCUCGAGUCCGACCCGGCCACCGGCGCCGUCCGCAAGCACUACAUCGGCAUGGUCAACAUGCUCGACAUCCUCGCCCACAUCGCCGAGGCCAGCGACGAGGCCGAGGCCGACGACGAGGCGGUCGACCUCGACCGCCGGAUGGCCGUUCCGGUGUCCUCCGUCAUCGGCCACUCCCUCGAGGGCCUCACCCUCUGGACGCUCCAUCCAAACACCAGGUGCUUCCAUCUUGUAUUGGAUUGGAACAGGCACUCGUUUCUUCUUGGAUCGGAUUGCAACAAUUAUUAGAAUUCUUUUUUCGUUUCUUGUUGCAUCAGCGUGCUGGACUGCAUGGAGACGUUCAGCAAGGGGGUGCACCGGGCGCUGGUGCCGCUGGAGAGCUCGGCGGACAACGUGGUGGCGGUGGAGCUCGUGGAGUCCGCGCCGGGGUACCGGAUGCUCACCCAGAUGGACGUGGUGCGGUUCCUCAGGGCGCACGGCGCGGAGCUCAAGGGCGUGCUGUCGCGGACCGUGCGCGAGCUCGGCGCCGUGAACGAGGCCGUGUUCGCGUUAGCGAGCGGCGCCAGGGUGAUCGACGCCGUCAAAGCGAUGCGCGCGGCGUCGCUCACCGCCGUGCCCGUCGUGGACGCCGCCGUCGGCGAAGAGACACUGCAAGACGUAGACGCGCCUCUCGAUUAUUCCCAGACCGAGCUUCCAAUUCUCUGUGCUUAUACACGCGCUCGCUGCUGUGCGUUCUGCAGGGGGUGGGCAAGAAGGCGAUCGGGACGUUCUCGGCGACGGACCUGCGCGACUGCCCGGUGGCGCGGCUGCAGCCGUGGCUGGGAAUCAGCGUGACGGAGUUCAAGAGGAAGGUGGCCGAGUACCGGGCGAGCAACAAGCCCGUCGUCCCCGGCGCCGACGCCACGGACACCGGCGUCCCGGUCGCCGCCGACGCCGACACCCCAGCGGCGGCCGCCGUUGCCACCGAUGAAGAACGGAGCAACGAGCAGCCGCUGGUGACGUGCUUCCCGGAGAGCACCCUCGGCGAGGCGAUCGAGGCGGCGGCCACGAGGCACGUGCACCGGCUGUGGGCGGUGGACGGGGAGGGGCUGCUGCGCGGGGUCGUGUCGCUGACCGACGUCCUCCGGGCCGUGAGGGGGGCCGCGCUCGGCGAGGAUCGGGAGCUCCACAACAUCGUGUCGUCCUAGAAGUUGGCACUGAAGUGGUCGUCCAUCCAAAGUGUGAACAGCCAAAUAUAAUGUUGCUGACUUUUCCACUCGUGUUCGUCGGCAAGCUUGUGAUUUUGCCUUGUUCCUCUGUUCAACGGGUCCCCAGGCUUAGUUUGUGAGUAAAGGGUUAUUAACCCAGGGAGAAGGCCGGGAACCCGGCGGGGAAACGAGUUUCCAAACGAGCCUGCGGGGAAAGCGUGUGCCUCGUACGCCAUCCCGCGCGGCCGCGCCUCCCACUUUUCUCCCGCUGACAAACGGGGGCCACCCAACCGUCCCCACCCGCAGAUCGCCUUCCACCGCCGCCACUCCGGCUCGCCGCCGACCACCAAUCCCGCUAGCCGCUAUGGAUCCACGCCUCCGCAAGCUCGGGGCGUCGUCCAUGGCGGACGUGGAGCGCCACUUCGCUAGGUACGAUCCGACCACCACUCAGAUCGACGUUGACAGGAGCACGCGCCUGGUCGAUGCCGUGAAGAUGUACGAGCGGAUGCGAGCGGGUGUGAGAGGCGAGGACCGCAUCCAGGUCUUCAACCCGGAGCGAUUGCUCCGCAAGGUAGAAGCCGAAGAAGCCAUGCGCGGGGCGGUUGAGGAGAUGAACAGCUCCAUUGGCAAAGCGAACUUGAAGAUCCGUUCGGCGAAUGCUGGGAUUCGUUCGGCGAUUUGGGGCGAUUCGUGGGUUCAUGCUGGGAUGGUCUGAUUCCGUCGAUUUGCGAUUGGGUUUUGGGGACUGAGAUAUCAGGAUUCGUGGGUUCAUGCAGGACUUCUAAUUCGUGACUGUUCUGAUUGGUGCGGGGAUUCAGGAUUCUGACUGGGGAUUCUUCACUGUUCAUCUGCAGACACAGUUGGACAUUCCUAACCCUGAAGCUGAAGACGGUGUCCCUCCAGAAAGGGAGAUCUCCAAGAAGCAGAAGCUGAAUCUGCGGAAAGCCGACGCCGAAUCCCAAGUCACAUUUUGGAAGCUCAACCUGACAGUUCGAAUGCUGCGUUUUGUUGUUACCGAGUUCAGUGUCAGACAGGUAUAGAGUUCAGUUUCAGAUGGUAUAGAGUUCAGUUUUACUAUUUUAGAUCAGAAGACAUAGAAUUGUGAUUUUGCUUCCUAGCACAUAUUCUUAGGCUUCAUAAGCUUUUGUCAGCUUAUUUCAUUGUACUGCUUGUUGCAUGGAACACAUUCUGAUGCAGUUGAUAUCUGUGCUACACAAGUAUUUGCACAUGUCAGUUUUAUCCAUGCUGAGGUUUCUUGUAUGCUGAGGUUUUGCUUCUCUGAACCAUGAAUCAGUCACUUCUUCUUCAGCUUGAUGAACAUCAAGUAUAUUUACUAGAAUUAGCAUCACGGAUGUGAUGACUCUGUAUGGGUGUUGAAUUUCCUGUUGCCUUCUCUUGAAAUGUUUCAGAUCACUCUCUUGGUGCAGGAUAGCUUAACAGGUAUGCAAGUAUAACUCAUUAGUAACUAGUAAGUUGCAAUAUGUGGCUCUAAGCCUUUAGCCACACCGAGUACUAAACUGUGCAUUUUCUUUGUCAAGCCCAUGGUUAUCUGAGAAACCAAACCAGCUUUUCUGUUGUGUCCUUUGAUGCUUGGAUUUUAUUUUUAUUCCUGCAUAUGUAAAUGCAAUUCAUCAUUCAAGAAAUUACCGUGCAAUGGUACUUCAUUGUGAUCCUCGCAAUUGUUCUUCUUAGAGUUGGAAUCAGAUGACAUGCAUGGAUGUGGAAAUUGCGGUACAAAUUUGUGGUGGGAUUGAAUUCAUAAAUUUGCAUUGUUUUUGGAUUAGAUAUUACUGCUUAGGUACUGGGCAUGAUAAGCAAAUGUCGGGUUAUGCAGUUUAUGAGAUCCAGUUGAUACAGUAUAUUGCGUGAUUUUUAAGCUCAAUGGCAAUGGGUGGAAUUUGUCAGGGUUUGUGUUGGUUGUAGUUUAAAUGUUUAAUAUCUUAAACCAUUGAAAGUGCAGUUUAUUUUGUGAUCAAGGUUCUGAUAUAGCAGCUUGUUCUUUUUCUUGGACUAAUUCAAUAUGCAAGCAAUUUAAUUUCUCAAGUAAUGUAAUAUAUGCCCCCUGUGUGCUUGAUUCUCUGAACUGAUGAGCAUUCAAACAUUUUCUGAAUUAUUGAAUGGUUAUAGUGGUUGGAUACCAAUGUUGUUAGGAUGCAUCAUGCAUUUCAUUUUGAUUAAAGUAUCCCAUCUUAUUUUGGUGUACGUGAGAGGAUUUCAUCUCCUUGGUUCCGGUCGGAGAGAGACUGCCGGAGCAGGGAAGAGGGAGGCAGAUUGGAUGCCUUCUUUUUGAAAGAAUUGACCGGGGAGGUGGGCUGUGGCCUGUGGGCCAGCUGAAGGAGGGGGCUGCAUGCGGCAUCGUCCGGGCGAGCGUGUCAAUUGUCAAAGCAUUUUCGUUGGGAUAUUACAAUUGAGCACUACCAACACUUUAGUAUCGUUGACGCAGUUAUACACAUGCAAGGACCCUAGGCUACCGGAACCUGCUUGGUAACACAGGUUUGUCUCUUCCCAUAAUCUGCUGAGCUAGCGCGAUUAACCCACUAAUGGUGUCAUUAGUUCAUGAUUAACACACAUUAAAUAACAUUACAGAGUAAUAAGAUCGAUUCAAAAGAAUUGUUGCACGUAUUAACAUUAUGACGAUGGUUGUUCGCACGGAGUACAAGGGGGUGUCGUCCAAAAACUCCAAACUGAUCCUUGUGCUGAUCCAUUUCUCAUCCAGAUUCCAGUAUGAUAUUUUUUUUGUAGGAAUCAAGUACAAGAUUUGAGAACCGGACCAAUUUGGGGCCAUCCUUUGGUGGGUCCAUAUCGUCAGUUUGUUCAGGGUCAAAACAGUCAUUGCAAAUUCUUAAUAAACAGAGCUGAUUUUAAUUAGUGGCACACGAGAGAAGCGAAGUAUUUUCAUGGCACGUGAGGAAAGUGUAUAAAUCUCAGUGGCAUAUAAGGAUUUCACUCUUACAAAUAACAGGAAUAAGACUUUAUCCCAGUGAAAGUAAAAGGAUAGCCUAGAACAACGCUGAAGCUACAAUUGCACAUGUCAAAGUGAAGCUUGAAACUAGUCAACUCACGCAAAAGAAAAUGGUGGCUCCAAGCAGGUCCACAUUAGUCCAGGUCAAUCAAAGUGAAGCUUAUUCAUCUUCGGCCACCAUUGCAAGCCAAUCUGGGUCAAUUAGCUUGUAUGGCCAAACAUUUUCAACAUCCCUACGACGGACUUUUGUAACUUCAACAAUACCACGGUGAUCUUCUUUGAGAAGGUAUUUUCGUGCAACAUUAUAGCCAUCAACAAAACGAAGUCCAUCUUCUGUAUCCAAGUCAAGAGUUAUAGAAGCUACCAUCGGUCUCGGAUCUAUCUUCAUGGACUCAAGUAUUGUACAAACUCUGAGAAUAUGGAGUGCCAGCUCAAGCUGAUCUUUCUGACCAUAAAACCCCGUAAUAUCGACCAUCUUCAAAUGGGUGUGAGGGUGCCAAUGAAGGCUCCUUAGCUCACCGUGACACUUGUGAUACCGUUCAAGGUUACAGUCCAUCCACAUCUGCAAAAGAGAUGAAUAUGAAUUCUCUACAUGAGAGCACCGCCAUACACUUAAAUGUUCUUUCCAUAUCGCUGCGAAAUAUAUAACUUACAUGAACUUCCAGGUUUUCCAUCAAAGGAGCAACCUCCAGUAAGCAGGCUAGGUCAAGGACAUCAGUCCUCUUUUUUCUCAGGGAAACAAAAUUUAACUCCAAUCUCAGAUGUCUUAGACAGAGAAAAUUGAAAGGUUUGUUCGGCAAAGUUGCUCUCUAACAUAGAAAGUUGAUUGAAAAAUUAAGACAGAUUAAACUAAAAUAGGGAUGCACAUGAACAUUGUAAUCAAAACAAUUAUGUGCAGCUCAAACCUUUAGUUCUUGGCAAUUUGGUGAAGAUAUAUGCGAGAGAAGAUCGGAUAUCCGAUGAUUUGAUGGAUAGAUUUCUCAAAGUGCUAGGAGGUGCUUAAAUGAAUCAAUGGGCCUUCAUAUUCAAACGUUAUCAGGCCAACAUUUAACUCUAUAUCUUGAAGCAAGAUGCAAUGUCUGACUUGCAGAUGCUUAAGGUGACCUAAAGGAUGAGGUAUAUGUAGGCUAGUGAGCAUUCUACAACAAGAUAUUCCAAAGAACCCCAAAACGUUGCAGUUGGACAACAUAACUUUAAGUUCAUCACUAGUAAUAUUCACAUCUACUAGCUCAAGCUUUUUAAGGUUUAGAAAAGCAUUGAUUCUUGCUGGCUGCUUGAGAGAAACAGAACCAAGUUUUAUAGAUUGCAAGUGGGAACCACUAGUAGUAUCAAAAAACUGAAAAGGGAAGCUAUAUGGUUCCUUCCCAGGACGUUGAACUACAAAGUCAAAAAUAAGUUGUUUUGUCUUUGAUGCAAUAGCAAACUUCACCCAUCCAUCUAUGUGCUCUGUGUGUUCAUUGUGUAAUGGUGAAAAAUCGACUUCCAUUUUCUCAACCCCUAUGCCAGAGUGUUGCUUUAACACUGCAUCAACCCUCUGAAUAAAAAUGUAUUCACUUAUGGAGAAACGGGGAUCUCCUAGAUCCUUUUUUAUGAACCAAUGAUUUGAAAGAAAACUCCAUGUUUGUGCGUGAACACCAAACAUGUUUCCAAUGUUUCGAUAAUAUGCUUGUCCUCACACCCUCUCUUAUUGGUAAUCGUGAUAUGAUAGAAUGUAAAAUAUCCUGUAGCAGAGAAACAACAGUGUCACAAUUAAUUAAUCAUCUCUAUUUUAAAAACAGGAAAAAACACAUGGUAAAAGAAAUGCAUAGAAAGGAGAGUAGAUGUGUUCUAUAGUCUAAGCACGGUACAUCAUGUAGAGGUAGGAGGAGAGCCCAGUUAUGUAAUCAUAUUACUUGAGUCGUUUGAUAUUUCAUACCAUUGGUAAAUCGCUCAACUGAAGCCUUGGUCUCUUUUCUUUCACCAGUGGUCCAUUCUGUUUACCCUUUGAACUUCUCUUUCUCUUUGCCAUUCAACUGUAUCAACCACUUUCUGUAAGAAAGAUUUGCGCAAGAAUAAAUUAACUGGAACUGUUGCCUACUUGUUUGCUUAUGACUACCUGAUUCCAAACACAUUGUAAUUGUUUUUAAUGAAUUAAUUGAAGCAAGCCACAACAAAUGAUGAGAAUUGAGAAAUCUUAUUUAAAACGUUCCUCUACUCCUCUUUUGUACUAAUUUGUUUUAACACAAAACUAUAACAUAUCCAGUACAGUACACUAUGUGGCCUUUUUAUAUUUGUUACUAGAAAAAAGAGGGAAGCAAACAACUGGAGAAUUGUAGCCGUGGUAUUUAAUAACUUAGUUCUUAGUGCACGUACAAGACUACCGGAGCGCUAAAGUUUUAGCCACUGUCAUAAUAGUAGGGUGCCAGCAGCGUGGAAUUUGCAAGUCAAUGAUGCCUGUGUUGGGAACCAAUUAUCUCCCAAAUUAAUCAUAAGAAAUUCUCAGCAUUGAAACGGCAGAACUGAAAGCGGCGCCCAAGUCAGCUCGAGUUGGGGAUCAACUGCUGCUGCUCUGGAGUUCUAGAUCUGAAGAAUCUAAUUUUUAUUCGUAUAGAGGCCUAGUAGAGAGAUAAAAAGAAAAGUACCCGACUGGAAGUGGUGUCGGGUUGCGGCGGCGAACGGAAGAAGGGAUGCCGACCUGCACCCUGCUGCAGUCGGAAGGCGGCCCGACGACCGCGGGCUGCAAGCAGCAAGGUGCGUCGUGGCCAGGAGCCACCGUAUCGACGGCGUGGAGGUGGACGGAGGCGAAACCCUAGCCAGGGGCUGUACGGCGCGACGACCCGAGAGAGGACGCGGGUCAGUGAGGUUAGAAAGGAUCCGUCCGGCGAGCCCCCUCCUGCAUCAGCGUCCAACCAUGUUCAUGGGAUGAAAAACGAACCCGUUCGGCUAGGUUGAGCCGCCGCGAUCAGGAAAUAACCUAACCGAAAUACAGUAUGUCGCCGGCCCGGCCCGGUGAGGUGCCACGCGGCCUUCUCGCAGCUGACUUUCCUACGUGCCUCGUUGUGAUCCUACACGUACAGUCGCGCCGCGACCGAGGCUCGCCGGCACAUUAGAUGCCCGGGGGCUCGUCAGCAGCGGUGGCAGUAGUGUCAGCCAGGUACUCAGUCAGGUUGGUCGGCCAUUGAGUCCGGUUUGCCUUCGUAGGACGUCGUGCGCUGCAUUCCUUGCCAGAGCCGCUGGCUGCCCGGCUCCGCUCGGGCGGAGGCGGAGUGGGUCGUGGUGAGAGAGACUCGUGACUCCACGGCCGCCGGUCGCGUGAACGCGGGGUUGGGCGACUGCCACACAGCGCGCGCGAACCCAGCUCGGGCCACGACCCACGAGAGGCUCGCCGAGCCGGCGGCGGCGGCGGCGAGGCGGACGCGAGCGCUGCGUCCGCACGCCAAGCUGGCUCCGGUGGCCGCUGUCUGCCCAUCUGUGUCUGCCAGCGACGCGUGCGCGCGCCAGCGCGGAGACUGGACUGGAUAGAGCCCGAGCCGGAGUCGGAGAUGCGCACGCCCACGUCCGGGCCCGCUCCUUUAGACCGUUGCGCGCAGGUCUUUUCUUCUUGCACCCCCGCCCGUUUUUCCCCUUCUAGGCUUCCAGCAUCUUCCCCAUCUACCUUUCCAAUGGGGCAGACGGACGACCAGUCCAAGCGUGCUGCGCGCCUUCAGUAAGAAAUCCAUCCACUCCUGGGCCUUGCCCCGAAACAGCAAGAAAUUCACGGCCCGCUCAUCAUCUCAGCGAAUGGAGGUCGGCCCGUGUGUUUUCUCUCCGAUCCUUCUUCCUGCAGUGUCAGCUUCUUCCUUGCAAAAAAGAAAAAGCUUCUUCAACGACGUUCACAAAGCGCACUCAAUGGCUAGGACGUACACGCACGCGCACUCAAUGGCUGGCAACGGCUGUCCGGCGAGGAGAGCGCGUCGCUGACAUCGAAUCGAAGGCCGGCGCAUCAACUUCGUGUGGCGGUAUGCUGUGCGUUUGCUUGGAACGCGUUGCCAGGGGCGCUCCGGGCUGGCAAGUCCGGGCAUCCGGCCGCCCGGGAACAUGCCCAUGCCGGCCGUUCGUCCGGCGGCGCACCAACCUAAUGUGCCGCGCCCGCGGCGUCCCGUGAGGACGGACACCUCUCAAGUCUGAACUUCCAGGCCAGGUCUCCAUCAUCAGUUUAUCAACCGCCCCCGCUGGCUCCACUCACGCCAGUCCGGGCUGUCGCGCUGGGUCGCGUCGCGGCGCCGACGCCCCCAGCGUGGCCGGGACGAAACGGGACGGGUGCUCGUGCUGCCCCCGCGCGCCCCGGACUGCACGCGGAACGGGAACCCAUGCUGGUUCCGGUGGACCACCCCACUAGCCGAUGGAGAUGGCGAGGUGCCGAGGUGACCACCCGUCCACCCGUCGUCUGGCAGCGACGUGCAGUGCCUCCGGCCGGAGUCUGGACUGGAUAGAGAGCUAAAGCCAAGCCGAGAGCCCGGGACGCGCGCGCCCACGUCGUUUUCCUCCCUUUUCCUCCUCGUCCGGCUCAUCAUUUCCGGCCGCCACCGGGGUCGACCGUUGCGCACUUCCGUCGUCGCCUUUCCAGUUUCUGGAUUUCCCCCCUUCAGCUUCCAAAUCCAGCCGUAGCAGAGGAGGCGUGCAGCAGCCAGUAUCACUGACACCCCUGUGACCUGCACUGUGUUUUCCCUGCUCGUACAUCACGCUGUCAACUGUCAGACGGGCGACGUGAGGACAGAAAACCUGGACGCAUGAAUUUGGCAGGACGGUUGGGAGUUGGAAAAGCGAAAAUCCAUGCUUUUGCCUCUCUUUUUUGUGCAAAAAAAAAAAGAAAUAGGGAAUUCACGAGGUGCACGCAUGCUCGGCAGCGAGGUUCCUGCCUGCCGCCGCCGGCGAGUUCCUCUUCCUCCUGCCCGUCACUCGCUCACGCGCCCGGCGUGCGCGUCCGUCCUGACGCCGGUUGGUUAGGCGAUGGAGUACGGAGUACCUUGGAUCACUCAAAUCGCUCCUACCACCAGUACCACACGCACCUUCACCGUCGCCAGCGGAGAGCCUCAUCACGACCGGCGCCUCUCCCAACCAACCGUGCCGGCCGAUCACUGCACGCGCCCGGCCGCUCGAGUGCCACUGAAGCUGCUCCACCUCGCCGAUCGCAAUUAGCAGGAGCUUAAUCUCACUUCCAUUAAUUAGCACCUGCUCACAUGAGCACGCAGAGGACCUAACGCGUGUGCCUGAAUACUACUAAUCCAGACAUGAGCCACAGGUGCCGCAGCCUUGCAGGGCGCAGAUGGCAUCUGAAUGGUUGGAUUACGCUGUCGCGUGACCUGUCAGUAGCAGUGCUAUGUGACUGGACUGCACAGCGGAACCGGUUCCUCUGCAGUACUGCAGAUAAACUCGGCGCCACCGAGCUAGGAGGCUGUAUGUCAGUGGAACGAGUUCCUCUGCAGUCGUCUUCCAUUUUGAUGGAUAGGUUAACCGUGGAGCAGAUUCAGUCAGCGUUGUGUCGGGCCAUCAGCUGGUGGAGUGGAGAUGAGAUGGGGGCGCAGUACCUGUAAUCUUGAGCCGUAAUAAACUAUAGCCAGUGACAGCCUUAUUAAGGGCUAACAUGAGUGUGAUUAAGAUUCUCCACCUACGGGCGUCGCAUGUGAAAGUAGGAGCGGAGCACACCUCAAAGUGGGCAUCGCCGAUCGGGUAUGCGCUGCACAGAUUGUUGGCCUCAAGUUCUAUUAAUUGUGCGUGGGGCCCACAAUCUGGUGGUGAGUGCACUAGCACAUUGAAUGCUGUUUCUUUUCGUUUCUUUUCCCGGUUUUCACUUCAUGGGAAAGGCAAGGGAAAAGUGUGAAUUAAUUUCGGCAGAAAGGGAGACAGGUCAUGCAAGACAGAAGGUGCUCAUUAGUUCCUUAAUUGUUACAGCUAGAAAGAGUGCCAGUUUCCUAUUUUUCUGUAAUUGUUUUUUUUUCCAUUUAUCCUGGUCACGGUCCUAAAAGUAGCUUUUUUCUAGACGUGAUCCUACAAUUUUUUCGUAACAGCUCUGCGACGCUCCAGGGGAAAUAGGCUCACGAAGCAGUUUUGAUUCGAUUUUUGAAUGCUUAUGCUAGAAGAAAGGCAACAUCCCAAAUUGCUCAUCCACUCCAAUAAAAAAAAAAGAACUCAUGGGACACAAUGAUUUGCUGGAUUUGUUUUUCUGGUAUUUCUGAAGUUUUUUUUUUACAACCAACUCAACACUGAAGAUUUCGGCCUACACUCCUGCCCUCACAAUUCGCAUGGUAACUGAAUCACAAAUAGUGAUUAAAGAACUUUAUUUUCCUAAAGAAUUUACUACCGCCUCUUCUUCCCUCUGUAAAAACUAGGGCAAUAUUAAAACUUCAUUUUAUUUUUUCCUUUAUAGAAAAGCCCUUCAUUUUACCCCUGUUGCCCCUUCUCCUCGCAAGUUUUUUCCACUUGUUUCUUGGGCAACAGAGUGAGGUUAUGUUUGGAUGGGCUAAAAGUAAGAAUUAAAUAUCUACCCUAGUUAUAAUAAUAAACUAAAAAUAUACUAAUUAUAAAUUAAUUAGAGUUAAUGGAAUCUACACACUAAUUAACCACUAUUUGUGCAGAUUUGUUCAUAUUUAGUCCUACCCAAAUUUGAGGACUAAAAACUAACCAACCCUGAGAUCCAAACGGCCGAGACGAGGCCUCAUGGCCAUCUGGCUUCUCAUCACCAACAGCUCACAUUGAUUUCUUCCUUCUCCACUACCUCCACCUAGCCAUCUUCCCCACCCCACCAGGCUGCCGCCACCACCACCUCUCUCUCCCUUCCCCUUUCUUUUUCUCCUCCCUUUCUGAUGCUUUGACGCCACCGCUCGCAGCUUUGGCCGUCUCUGUCUGUCUCCCGUCAUCUCCUCCUCCUCCGCCACUAAUUAAAGCAGAGGCAGGAGUUGUGGGAGAGAACUGAAGAAGAGAACAGACUAGAAGCGGAGGCGAGGGGAAGGAGGGAGCGGGGCGAGAUGUUUGACAGCUUGCUCAACUCCAAGUUCUACAACAAAUGGUACAGAAAUCUUUCCUGCUGGUUCAGUUUGGCGCGUGAUUGACGGGCUUCAGGUCCGGUUGUUAGUUGUUACCCGAUGCUGGCAUGGCUGUUCUUGCGGACAGUCGAGUUCGAAAUCGAAUGAUUUGGGCUCUCUUCGUUCGACGAUUUGUUCAGCUUUUCGAUUUGCGCAAACGAAAGGAGGUCGAAUGUUUUGUUGCCAGCAGCCGCACUUGUUCGCUUGCUUGAAUAUCUGCGUCCAUCGUUCUUCAGUUGCUUGAUCUUUAUGAACUUUCCUGAACUUCCAGUCCCCCCCUCCCCCUCUUUUCCGCAGGAGGUUAUCAGGCCCUGUUCUUGAUUUGUGUUCUGCUCUCCUGUUGAUUGUUGGGGUUCCUACAUUCUCGAUUUGACCCGUAUUUGUUUGUUUUGUGCUAUUUCCCCCUAAUCGCUGGUUUUUUUAUUGAUUGAGCAGCAAGCAUGCAGUCAAGUGCACCCGGACUCGGCUGGAUCUGCUCCGGCGGAAGAAGCAAGCCAUGGUGAAGUUCCUCAAGAAGGACGUUGCUGACCUCCUCUUCAACGGCCUUGAAUCGCACGCCUUCGCACGGGUACUGUCUGCACUCUCAAGGCUUCGACCUGAAUAGUUCAGUGGUCUUGGAUGGAUUUAGCUUUGGUGCGAAUUUGACAAAACAGAAAUAUUUCUCGAAGUGCCGAUGCAGUUGAAAAUUAGUGCUUUGCACGGAGAAAUUUGUGAUGAAAUGCAGGAUCAUGUGAGGGUUCCUGUUGUGAUAUGUUCCUAAUUGCUGUUAUUUGUUUCCCCUGGACUACAGAUGGAAGGGCUGAUUGUUGAGAUGAAUCAAGCAUCUUGCUAUGAUAUGAUAGAGCAGUACUGUGAAUAUAUUGUGAAGCAGCUCAACAACCUGCAGAAAGAGAGGUAAUUGUCACCCUUGUCGCACUCAUCAGUGAUGCACCAAAUUCAUCCUGCUAACAUCUGUUUUACAUCGUUUGAUGUUAUGCACAUGUGCUCUGCAUUUGUUUCUGUUCUUGCUAGGAAGAAAAUUGGAAACAUUAUCAUUUCUUCCAACUUUAAUUGUAAUAUCUUGGAUUUCUAGUCUGCUGUAGCUGAUUAAGAUGGCUUAGACAUCAUCCCUUUUGAACAUUCAGUUAGACUAUGACAACUUUGGUCUAUGAAGUCCUAGCUUAUCUGGAUUGUUUGGUGAUAACUGCUUUACUGUAUAGCUAUUGUUCGAUUGCCUUGUUUAUUCAUACUCAAGGCAUGCCAUACUCCUGUUGUUAUGCAUGUGUCUCAUCAAGAUUGAAAAUUUUAAUACUGAAAGCUCAGUCAAGGUAGUUAAUCAUUGACUUGAUGUUUGCCUUUCUGGUUUAACAGUUUGCAUAGUAUUCCCAAGGUUAUAGAAGAUAUGAAAAUCUCAAAGCUACAUAUUCGCCAUCGUUCAUAGCUGGAAUUGAAACUAUUCUCUUUUGGUUGUGCUAUAUGAAUGAAGUGUGUGUCACUAUCAAAAGAUCUUGUUCUUUCAUCAUUAUUUAAGAUUACAAUAAGACUUUCUUCCUUCUCCAAUUUUCACUGAAUCUGUGAUGUCCUUCAACAGUGAAUGCCCUCAGGAAGCCUUGGAAGCUGUGUCUACUCUGAUAUUUUCUGCUGCUAGAUUUCCUGAUUUGCCUGAACUGUGUGACCUCAGACAUAUAUUCACGGAGAGAUAUGGGAGUUCGGUUGAGCCUUUUGUUAAUUCUGAGGUGCUUAAAAUUCUUUUUCUUUCUUAUGUGUGAGUUGAUCUCCAUCAUUUGGAACAUAUCAAUUAACUUAACCUUUGUGUUAACAGUUUGUCCAGAAGCUUCAGAAUAAAUCAUUUACUAAUGAAGAGAAGUUGCAAGUGAUGAAAUCCAUUGCUGAAGAAUUCUCCGUUCCAUUUGAUAGCAAGGCACUGGAAUGGAAGAUAACUUGUGGACCUCAAAAUAAGCAUGUAUGAUCUUAGUUAACUUCUUUGCAUUAUGUAAAUAUAUGCUCUCCUUUUUAUUAACUACUCAGCCUAUGGGGUCAUUCAAUUCUAUUUUUGACAUUCUUUUUUUCAUCAGGAUCUUCCGAAGAAGAGUUCAGUUAAACGGGAGGUAGAAGCAUCAGCACGAAAUGGACACAAGGUUGAUAGGCAUGCUGUGAAUGAAAGAAAAUCUAACCCUGUGGCUGAAAACUAUGGACAGAAGCAGGAAAUGAAGACAAAGCCCAAAGAUAUCCAUGUCAUUCCUGAUGGAAUUGGUCAGUUAGGUGAGAAAAGCAGGAAGAACUACUCAGAUAAACCUAGUGAAAAAAGGCACAUGGAUAAUUCUUUGCCUCCUUUGGACGUGAAAGAAAGGAAUGGCCAGAAAGAAAUGAAGAAAUAUGAGAAAAAGGAUGAUCACCUUCGAAGGGAACUAAGGAAUGCAGAGGAGUUGGACCUCAAUGGCUUAAAGAAACAGGAUGGUGGUUUAGUGAAACCUCCCAGUGGCACUGAGCAUAGUUGGGGACAUGCUGACUUAGGGCUUAAAACUCUGGGCCUAGAAAAACAUGAAAUUGAUUCAAGUUGCACCUUGAAUGGUAAAACAGUGAAUAAGGCUCCUCCUUAUUCUAAGCCCUACAGAGCAACAGGUGAGAUGUCCGCUGAAGGAAAUUCUAACAGUUUGUAUGAUAGACGAAAGCAUGAAGGAGAGUUUGGACAGUCGAUGCGAGAUAGGCAGCAUGUGCCAGAGAAGGCAGCCAGUAUGCGGCCUCCUUAUGUUAAGCCAAAAUUUGAAAAGCAUACUGGUGCUGAAGAAAUAGGCCACCCGAAGGGUGAACCGGUUUAUGAUCCUGUUUCCGUCAGAAGCAGGCAUGCAAAACCACCUGCACAUGCUGAUGAUUAUGCCAGAAUGGCUUAUGAGGAAAAGAUGGCAGACCAAGCACCUGAUGGCCGAAGAAGACAUUCAAGCAGGAGGAAUGGUGCCUAUGACGAUUAUGACCAGAAAGUUGGUCAUGUGCUACCCCUAGAAGUCAUGGGGGGCAAUGAUGAUAUCAACAAUGCGAGACCUUUUCACCGAAUCCCUAGUGAGCGAAGAAAGCACAGAAGCAGGCGUCAUGGAUCAACAAGUGGCAGCGACUACAAUGGGGCCAUUGAUGACCACGAGUCAGAUGAGGACGAGGCGAACACCGCAAUUGAUUUUGGCAAUCUUCUGCCCCGAGCCCCUAGUUCACACAGGAAGCACAGGAGUCGGAGUGCUGAUCCCCGCAAGGGAGGCCGUGACGAUGAAGAAAGGAUGAUGGAUAAGCUCCUCAUGCAUUACAGCAAGAAAGGUCUAGACAGGGAGGAGCGCAAAGAAAGAGUAAAAUCUCGUAUCCCCCGGCCUCGAGCUGACCGACCUGCUGAUGGUGCUGCAGAACUAUCUAACAAAGAAGGGGUGUCUGCAAACCGCCCUGAAAGAGCUCUAUCUCUACCUUCAGAAUCUGCAAGCCCAAAGGCGAAGCCAAAGGCCCCUGUUCGGUCCAUGUCCAUGCAGCCAGAAAUUUCUAGAGGGAAUGUGCACCCACCGGAUUUCGACGAACUGGCUGCACGGAUCAGCGCGCUGAGGAACACCUGAGCUGCCACGAUACUGUCUUCAGCAUGGCCUCUAUUCGCUCAGGAACUUAUAUCAUAGCAUCUGAGAGCUGAUGGUGCCUGGGGUCACUGGAUUGAGAAGAGGACAUUUGAAAUGUGGUUGCCUCCUAUUUUUUGCAACAUUUUCUCAUGGUAGUAUACUUGUUUGUGUUGCUCUGAGUGUAAUCUUGGUAGAGCAUUGGCAGGAAAGUUAAAAAUGGCAAUUCAUAGGAUACCAUACCUUACUACAUUGAUUUGGAUGUGGUUGUUUGUUGUACUCAUAGAACAAUUGUUGUCGCUGUACAGAUGCCAUUGAUGAGGCUAUAGUGAUAAAGUGAUUUUCUACAUCACCGUUGAGUGCUUCCUCCAUUUUACAAUAUUUUUACAACCUCACUGUCAGCAUACACUGGAGAAGAUUAGGCAUUUCUAUCAAGAUACCAUAAUAAUUGAUCUAAUGACUAAUUAUACUUAGCUGCCAACCGUAUAGGAUUGUCAGUUUUGUCUGACGGACCACCCAUCAUCAUCUGGAGCCAUUUUCUUCAGCAAAAUUAGGCAGCAUGGUUGCCGGAUUUCUUAUUUCUCCUAGGAUACGAAGACCAUGUGACGGUUGCCGCACAAAACGGUGCCGACGUCGAUAGGCUCUGGUAGCAGAGCUGCCUAAUAAUUCUGCGCACGUUCCUCUGGAUUCCUGAUCAAUCAUCACUGCUACCUAGUAGUAUUCUAUUUUUUUCUUGGAUCUUCAAAACAAUAUUCUAGUAGUUGUACUAAAUUGUCAACAGAAACAACUACCACUCUUAUUUCCAUUUCGCCCGUCUAGACAUAAAAGUGGGACAAAUUUUCAUGCUAUUCUUUAGUUCCUCUGUCAUUUUGAGUCAAAACAACUGACGAACGCUUGCCAAACUGCUCUAUCAUCUCAUCAGUUUGUCAAAAGAAAACGGCAAAUCUAAGUCAGUAGUGGGUGGCGGCUUGGACUCAGGCCGUGCACAGGACUGCAGGUGCAGCUAGCAGGCUAGCCCAAGGACCUCAUGACACCGACGACGAAAUGCAGGAUGCAAUCGUCGCCGCCGCCGUCGAGUAUGUCGUCGCAGACCAGCCGCUCCAGCGCGGGGUCCCUCGGCAGCGCCCCGGCGUGGUACAGCACCGUCGCCGCCGUCGCCGUCACCGGCCGCGUCGCCACGCAGGCCGCCAGCCUCGCGAACGCCCGGAGGAACAGCGGCAGGAGGCCCUGCACGCGCGCACGCGUUAGCUGACGGUUGCUCUCCAUUCGCGCAGCGUGCUCCUGCGCAAAAAUGCAGUGAAAACCACGUGCUCACCAUGGGAGAUCACGGCCGAUCAAAUGUGCUCGACGAUGCAGCAGCAUGCGCGUGAGACCUGAAGCCUGAAGGGUUGGUUAGUGCGUUGCUGAUGUUUAUAUAUAUACAAAUCGGUAGCAUCGGAACCAUCUGCUGGGAGGUUUGGAGUUGCAAACGGUUGGCGGUGGCAACGACGGGCGCCCAUUGUCGCCUUCGGUGCCGGCCGUUGCUCGCUUGUCUCGGCACUGUGCUCUCUCCAGUCCAGCUCUCGGUUUUGGACUCGGCUGCUUCCUCAUAUUCUUUGCCUCUGCGUCCUGCUUUCCUUGCGUGCCUUUCUCCUCGCCAGGGUCGCAAAGCCGCCCAACGAUGACAGCGACCGGGGUUGUUGGCAUCGCUCGAGCCUGGCAGCAGGAAAGCCCUGGUCAGUUCUUCCAGAUGAAGAAGUUCAAGACCGGUGAAAUCUCAUCUUGUGCUAUAGCUUGUGAGACUAUGAUCCCCUCUCCUGAGUUUUCUUCCACGAAGGGCCUCGGAUGGAUCCUUGAUUCCUUGAUACACUACACAAGGUAUUGCUGCAGUUAGCUGCGAUGAAGGUUCCAGUGUGCCAUUAUCGAAGAGGUUUCCAAUACUAUACAUAUAUUCAAUGCAUAAAUACAAGGUGUAGUAUAGCACGAAUUUAUUUUCUGCUAAUGUUGCAUAUGUAUAUACCUGAGAUAGUAUAUGAAUAUAUGACCACCUAUACUACAUAUGUUCAUAUGUUCCAAAAAUUGUUUUAAAAACCAGGAAGUUUAGUUAUUCACCACCUUAACCCUUGGUGUCUCAUGAAACGUAAGAAAUCAAGUGACGCCUACCCUUAACUUUUUGCAAGGCGGCAGGAAUUAAUUCCCUGCUAACAAUGCAUAUAUACAUUCUAUGACUGACAAGGAUUAAUUUCCUGCAAGAAUGUGGUGAAGACUGCAGUAUGGCAGGAAUUAAUUCCCUGCUAACAAUCCAAACACGCUAGGUGCAGUAUAGCACGAAUUAAUUCCUCCCUAAGAUGCAUGCGUAGCAGAUAUUGCCUGAUUUAACGCGUCAUCCAUGAGAACGCCAAGCGUCCCCCUCUGAAUCUCUCUCGAGCAUUGCCUACAAAUAGGCACACUCGGUGACACCAAUCAACACCAGCUCUCUUCUUCCUCACCAUCAAGUGGUUUGAGGCCAUGCCUCGCAACGCCUCGGCGAUGUCGUCCAUCCUCCUGAUUGUGCUGCUCUUGGGCCUUGGUAAGCAUGGAUGAUAGUCAAGGACGAUCCAGCAAUUCAGCAGCUCAAGCACCUCACCAAAUGAUCAAACAAUAAUCUGACCAUACUAAUGCUAGCAAAUUCUUCAGUCUGACUGCUAUGUUGUUCUUCGUGUAUGCAGGUGGCCACACUAAUGCUAGCAAAUUCUCGACGCUGCACUACGAUGUCCAGCAACCGGGAGCUGACGAAAGCCCUCGUGAGGAGCACCUUCAAGAAAAACUUGCAACCAUCAUGUCAUACAAUCUUGACUGGGCCUGCCUUCCCAAUGAUCCUUCCAACCCAAAGUGCCGCGCGAGCAAGUUUUCCUGGCCUGAGCUGGUGGGGAGGAAGGGCAGGGAAGCAAAAGCUGUGAUUCAGAGGGAGAAUCCUUCUGUCGAUGCUGUGGUUUACGCCCCGCAAGACGCCAUUGUUACGGACAAGUACUGCUGCAAUCGUGUUAGGCUCGUCAUGAACUGUGAUGCUGGCUGCGACUAUGAAAAUGCUACGGUGUUCCAAAUCCCAAUUGUUGGGUGAUGAGCAGGUUAUUUUGUUGUUGGGGGGUUGCAAGUGCAUAUGCAUCCUCUUUUUAACUGCUGCCACAGCGAGCAUUCUCCAUUGUGCAAAAAAAGAAAAAAAAAGGAACCACCUGAAAAGUCUUGGAUUUUAGAAAAUGCCCCAAAGAACAAGUUGUGUACAAGAGAUGCAAUGGAGGCAUUUUACUUGUCAAGGAGCAAAAUGAUGAAGGAAUUCAAGAUGAGAGUUUAUCAUGGCGUAUGUCAAGAAUAUAUUGCAGCAGGUUGGCACGGCUGAUUCCAAGCUUACUCGAUAUAGAAUUUAGGCAUUGGAAGAUCUAAAAACCACGUAAAAGUUGUUCUAAAAAUUAGGAAAACUAAUUCACCCCCUCAACCUUUGGUGUCUUAUGAAACUUGAGAGCACUUUGUUGGCAGUUGCACGCAGUGCAUGACAUGGGCUGGACCGCACGGCUCAGGUGCCUGCGUAACGGCCCAGUCCAGCUACUUAGAGCCUUCCUUACCUGCUUCCUGUUCGCUCUCCACGCGCGUACGCCGCCGACACACGACAAAACGAGGCAUAAUCAUCGUGCGUGGAAUCCGAGCCAGAAACCUAAACGAACACCUGAUCCAAGAUUCCAAGGGUUCUAGUCGCCUACUCCGCACGUCCUUGGCUGUAUAUAUACGAAGCAGACAUGCAAACCCUCUGGCCCCUCCCGUACGUCGCCACUGGAUCACGUACGCCUUUUCGAUCGAGCAAGCUCUUGGUCGUCGACGACGACGAUCGCCAUGGCGGGCGGGAGGCAGGGCGGCAAGCAGAAGCCUCUCAAGGCCCCCAAGGCUCCCAAGAAGAAGCCGCAUGCAGACUGAUCUGGAGAACCAGAAGAAGAAGAAAGAGGACGAGAAGGCCCUCAAGGAGCUGAGGGCCAAGGCGGCGCAGAAGGGCCCGCUCGGAGGCGCCGGGCUCAAGAAGAGCAGCGGCAUAAAAAUAAUUCUGAAGACUAGUGUAUGUCUUAUUUCUGUUUUCAUCAGAAGAUAGAAAGAAAGAGACAUGCAUGGUGCCUCAAUUUUGUGCUGGUCUUGAUCUUGCUGGUGUAGAAUCUCGUAGAUUACCUGUCCUGAUUCUGAAAUUUUCUUCAGUUUCGUAUGCCUCGUGUGGUUUGUAUGAAGUUGGGAACGAUACAGCAAUUCGCUUAGAGACCGUUAUUUUUAGGUGGUGUUUGGAUCCAAAUGCUAAUGGCUAAAAGUGUUAAAGUUUAGCACUAGUCCAUCUAAACAGGAGUGCUAAUAUGAUAAUCUAAACUUUAGCCAAGAUUGAAAAUUUAAGAAAAGAUAUUCAAAUACUAAUAUGUGCUAGAAUCUAGCACUCAACUUUAGCUUAUCCAAACAGGCUUUUAAUCCUCCUCUCUAGUGUUGGUAUCGCAAAGAGGACAGUAAUAAGGUAUUAGCAUCCGGAACAUUGCAAAGGUAACAAAUCCGGCUCGUGUAGACCAGCUAGCUAUGACGCUGCCGGCCGCUACUGUUGCUAGCCAACGACCUCCUUGCUACGAGGCAGCUGGAAUCGCCUACUUCUGCACGAGCAUAUGGCGGACCGAGAGAUUGAAAGCAGCCCGGGCGAAGCGCAGGUAACUCUUUCUUCUCAUAUCUGGCAGAGCAGAUGGGCAAAAGAUUCUAUGGUUAGCCUCUGGAUACAGAGGCAUCGGAGCCCGGGCGCCCUGGGUCCGCCGCAUACGAGCAUGUCUGCCAAGCAUACCAUGUCCGCCACACUCGAGUGUCUCCAUUGUCUAUGGGAGUGAGGAGGCCACACGCAAAAACUUGCGUCGCUCCUGGCAUUUUCACUUGUCCUGUGAAAAAGAAGUGGAGCUCGAAAAGGGGCUCUAAGCAACACGCAUCAAGCAUAAGGAUAAAGCAGUCUUGAAUCGAUAAACAAUCUUUCAAAUGCUUUCUAGUUCCGAACCAAGUAUAUCACGUUCCGCAGUGAACAUCGCAGGUGGCCAAAGCAGAUGCUCACUAUAACAAAAUGACAGAAUUGCUAUUUCUGGAUCUAUGCUGCAAAGCGUGCACGCAAUCUGCUGCGAUAAACUGCCUCGAGAUUCAAAUAUCCUAAACCUCAGAAACGAACAUGCAGCAGCUAGCGACCCACAUGAUCUUAUGCGUCAGUUGGUCUUUGUUGACUCGGACAAAAUUCUUGGGAGAGAUUCAGAAAACUAAGGUGCCAUUGCUGAGUGCCAUCUCAACUACUUGUGCUCUUUAAUUUCUUUAAUGAUACCGUCAGCGAGGGAAUCUGUAUCAUAGUUCUUGCCGUAAAACUUGACAAACUCCAUCUUUGGAUUCAUCAAGUACCUGAAAGUAGAUGAACAACCAGUCAGUGUUUUGAGAGGGCAUAUCUGAAUCUUCUCAGUAUCACUAGCCACAUGGCAGCAGAAGAAUAAAUCAGAAGCUUCUACAGUUGCAAUGAGUUUGGAGGGGGUACUGAUGGAGAAUAUAACAAAUCAGAAUGUGUGCAUUUUCUCAGUAUCAGUAGAUGGUGCAUGGCAGCAGUAUUAACAAAUUAGAAGCCUCCUACAGUCCUUAUGAGUUCAAAAGGAAUAUAUCUGUCAACCACUUAGUUAAUUUGGGAUUCAGGCAUUCCCAGUAUCGAGUCUCUAAAGCAUCCAAACGAGUGUAUAUCAUAAGUAGUUCCUACUGGAUACCCGUUGGAGCCCUGCAAGAUAUAUUCAGAAGGGUUCAUAUGCAAUAGAGAAACUAACAGGUUUCUUCAUUUUGCUAUGGAUAUUGUAGAUAUGCCAUAUCUUGUAACAACGAAAUAACUAGAACCAGAAUCAUCUCAAUUGCAGAACAUUAGCAAAAAUAAAAAAUAGCCAAAGUCAUUGUCCAGGAGAGAGGAAGAUUAAAAUAACAUACAUGACAAUUGAGUGGUCAACGAGAUAGUCAGAACCCUCCUCCUCCGUCUUCAUAUAGUAAACUCGGUAAGCACGUGCAACUUUUCUUAUCUCAUCUGUUGUGCCCGUUAGUCCUACCAGAUCUGGAUGGAACUCUGGGAGACACAAAUAAUUCAUCAAUAAUAGGAAAUUCAUUGAAUAAGAUGAACUAAUAAUAGUUCAAAUAGCAACAAUCUUUAAGUGAACAUAAGCAUUAGGAAUUGAGGGACAUAAGUGCACGGACACACACCUUUAACAUAGUCCCGAACCUGCUCAACAGUAUCUCUUUCAGGAUCAACUGUAAUGAAAACUGGCACAAUAUCCAAUUUUGCCUUUUCCUCUGCAAAUAACAACGGAGUUUAUUAAAAAUAUGCUAAUUUAACUGUCUACUAGCUCUAGUUAGGCACUUCAGCGGAAUUUUUCACCAAGUGCUGUUGUAUGUGCAUUCCACUUGCCCAUUCACCAUAUUACUUUGUACAGUAACGUGCCUUCUAGUUUCUAGGUGACCAUUUAAAGCAAGAUAACAGUGUUCUUAUACAUACCAUGAAGACAUGAAGAUAUAUCAAUAGACAGUAAACAGCCAAUACAUGACCUAGGAAGGUAGUUAUAUCCAAGGAACAAAAGAAACAUACUAAUUUUGUCAAUCGCUGCAGCCAUUUUCUGGAGCUCAUCUGGACAAAUGUCAGGACAGUGUGUGAAUCCAAAAUAAAGCAGAGUCCAUUUUCCCAAGAAGUCCUUUUCAGUGACAGGCUUCCCAUCAUGGUUCAGAAGCUUGAAUGGACCACCAAUGGCUGCAGUGCCUACUGAUUGUCCAGGCUUCACAGCACUUGUUCUAUUCUUCAAUUCUGGGGAAGAUGGAACAGAAAAUAUCAUGAAAAAAAUUAAACAGGAUUCAAGGAGCUGAUGCCUUCCUACUAUGCUGAUAAUACUUCUAAAAGGCACAUGUCCAUUUGUACAAUCAAGUAAAGUUUUGCGACAAUUGCUAUAAUAGCAAAUAGAGAUCUGAUUCUGAACCAGGAAGAUGGUUUCUUUUCAUAUUCAAUGGUGUCAAAACAACAUACAAAAAUAUAUCAGAUAUGAUUAGCACGGAGUCCUCUAGCAAUUGUUCCACUGGCCCUAUAGUAUGGUUUCUGAAUUUUUGCUGAUGUCAUGAAGAAGUAUGACAAGAGCAACAGUAGCCACAUAUAUACCGUUUGUUCAACAAGUUUAGUGUCCCGUUCAACUUUUGUAUAUGUGUCCUUGAAACCCAUGCAUAUGCAUUUACAAAGAAGUUAAAAACAGCAACAAAAAUGCCAGCAGUGGUUACAGAAGAAAAUGCAAACAAAACAUUGGUCUUCAGCUUAUUGUCUCUUAGUGUAGACUGGGACCAAAUUGUUGCUAAAAGCACACCAGUUUGUGGCAGGGAAAGCUUAGGCAGCUGGCAAGGUUACGGCUCUCCAUUUUGUAUAAACUGACUUGGAAGAAUUGACAAGAAAUGUAUGAAAUCGCCAAUUGGUCCUUUCUUGCUCCAACAUGGCUGUCACAAAUCCAGUAAGCUAACUCUUCCCUUAAUGAUGAUUUCACUUAUAAGUACCAUAUGUUUUCCAAAAAGAAAAGGAACUUUUCAGAAUAGGAGAUGUGUGCUCUACAUUUUUAUAGAACUUGCAUGAAACGCUGAAUAAAAAAUAAUACAAUGCUAGGGAUGUAAAUUAGGUGCUAGCAGAAAAAAUAAAAGCUCUAAAAAUUCCUAUUUCGGCACUCACAAUAAAAUGGGAUUAGAACAAACAUGAGACAAUGCAUUUAUUGCGGGAAAAAUGCAUUCCAGAACAUCACAUUCUAGUAAGUAGGUAUACAGCAAGGUGCCAAGGUGCAGCAGCAGCAGCACUCAUGCAGGGAAAUUAGAAGGCAUUAACAUGGGUAAUAUAUAAGACUCAGAAGCCAAAUUCUCACUAAAAAAAGAUUUGGAAACCGAUAAACUAUACUUCUCGUACAUUUAAAUGUCACUUUAUACCAAUCAAUUCACAGCCAGCAUGACACUCGAGACACUUCAGUGCACAUGUAUACCACACGCACCAAAACAUUUUUUUCCCAUAGCAACAUUCCAUAUAGCCAUGGCAUAAUGUCACAAAGUGUAGCCAGAAAUUUUAAGAUGGGGUUCAAGCAUUGGAUUUUAUUAUUAGACAGUUCGAUAUUUAUAUGGACUGAAGAUAUGGUAUAAUGAAGGUAUAUACUAGGUUAAACUGUUUGCUUUAACAUAAUUUUGAAAAUAUCUGGUGAGUCAAUUGAAUCCUGUGAACUAUGAGAAAUCCACUCACGACAUCAUGAACUGCUUUGGCUUAUUGGACCAGCAUAACCUCUUCAAAUUUGGCUAACCGUGUUUCCUCCAAUCAAUACGCCAUCGUACCAACACGGACACUACGAAUAUUUUUCUAUUCAUAGCUAGAUACAGUCCUAGCAUCAGUCAAACAACAACACAAACUCACCAUAGUAAUCUACCUUCAAUGUGACGCUUCUUUUCUUUAUCGUAGUACACAAUUAUCCCUCCUCCAGUCACGAGCAGCAGUAGAAAACUGAGCCAGGACACCGGCUGCAAGGAAGUGACAAGUGCUUCUGAAUUAGCAUUCAGAAAUGGCCUAACAGUCUAGAAACAAUAAAUGCCCUAAGGAAAUGAGAAAUUGGUCUCUUGUUAGACGCUACGUACAUCACUACUAAUUCGUGCCGAAUGAAAGAUUUCAGAGCAAUUGUGUUUAUUUUCCCCUGCAUAAGGAGGAUAGAGUACGAAUUGGGAUUACAAGCCAUAACUCACCCCUCCGCGGACGGAUUUUCCGGCGUCCGCUUGCUCAGAUUUCCCAGACUGCCCAUCGCCGCCUCCAUCCCCGCCCGUCGUCGCCGCCGCCGUCGCCGCGGGAGGCUUCGACCCGCCCUGCGCCGCAGUCGAGGCGUCGGCGGAAAAGAAGCGCGCGCGCCCCAGGAACGCCGCUCCGAACCGAGACUCACCGGGCCCAGUGAUCUGCAGCACGAACAAAACCAAACUAAUCACGACCCGGCGUCGCUACCAGAAGGGUGAGAGAAGAUCCCGCGCUCGGCGGUCGCCAGCGACGAAGAGAAAGGCGCUGAGGUACCUGAGGCAGAGCUCGAGCGGGAGGAGGGGCGAGGCCGGGAGCGAGCGCCCGCGAGAGGAGCGCGCGGAGGUGGGACACGCGCGCCCUCAUCGUCGACUCCGCCCGCGCCGCUUCGCCGGACCGGGAUUGGAUUCCGCUGCGGGAAGGGCAACGGGUUGCUCCGCGCCGUCACCUCGUGGCUCCGGCGGCGCCGUGGGUUUCAGAGGGGGUUUUCCAGCUGCGAUGGUUUGCGAAUGCUUUGCUUCUUGUGCAAGAAGAACGUUUCAGUUUCACGAAUCGCAACCCAGGAGGUUAAGCGCGUCAAGCAUCAUUAACAUUUUACUGACUUGUAACAUGUCUAACGAUUAACAUUACUUCAAAGAGUACGUCCUUUGCGUGUGAGCCUGCUUCAAUUAACAAACCUAUUUCGCAAAACUUUCUUCUUAAGUUGUCAAGUAACAAGCAUUACUAACAAACGAAAGCAAGGGUAUACUGAUUAGCCAUCCAGUCAAAAGUUUAAUUUGGAUUUGGUUGGGGUGCGCCAGGCCCUGCCAGCAGUGCAACGGCUGGGCGACGCUCGAGGGCCCCAGUGGCAAGCCACUGUAGUGGACCCUCCCCCACAAAAAAUAAAUUUAAUAUCGAAAUGGGCACAUGGCCCACAUAUCAGAUAUUAAACUGAUAAGAACAGAUACUACACUUGAUCUUAGCCAAAAGGCCGAGAAAGGUAUGAUUUGGGAUGGAGCCCUGCGCCUAGUUUUAUAGCACGCUCGACCGCCUCACCCGCCUUCAGCUCGCGAUGUGGUACUAUCCGGGAAACCAGAAGCGGGGCGGAGGGGCGCUGCGCUGCGGCUCCCUGCCAUUUGGGUUUCGGUGUUUCAUUACGGCCCAACUUGGCGGUAUCAGCCCACAUGAUCGGACGGCCCAGUAAUGCGACUUCUAGAGUCGACCGGGCCACUUGUGGAGCACGGGCCGGCAUUGAUAUACUCUCUCUCACACACAUACAGGUUUUGUCAGUGUCUCACGCCAGUACGCCGCCUUCAUGGUGGCAGCGAUGCCAUAUGCUAGUAACAAGCAGUGUUUGGGUUAUCAACUCAAGCAGGUCUUACUUCUUUCUAACCUUGCUUUAGGUCACCUCGUCUCUCAAUCUACAGAUUUUGAGAAGGUAGUUGCGACACCGCGACUCCCUAAAACGAGGCCGGGAGCUUUACCGACCUAAAGUUGAGAAGAUAGCACGCAAGAUUUACCGAACUGGGCUAAAAAUAUCGAACCGAGGAUGCUUCUUUAUGCAAAUGGUUCCUGAGAUUGGCAGUUACCCAAGUCCUGUUUCGCACUGCCGUAGGCAUCAGAUUCAUAUUACUCCCCAGAUUUCAGUCAUGGUGACUAAGUCCUGCUAACUACGAGCAUGUUCGGCUUUCAUUAAAGAACAUCAUUUCUUACAUGCCAUCGUGCUCGCUAAGGCUUGGCUUGAGCCGACAAAUAGGAUGUCCACCACAGCAGGGAAGGAAUUUCUCUAACGACGGCAAAAGCGACUACAAGCUUACAGGUAUCAGAUUCCUGUGACAUACAAGCUUGCUGCAAACACAAUGUCACGCUUGAUAGCAUUAGACGCGACCUCCAUCUUCUUGUACAGCGCAGAGUUCCCCAUUAUCGAAGCCGCGUUCCUGAAUUCUCUGCAUGUUUCAUCCAGCCGGACGAUUGUUCUUACAAUGAGCCCCUCGGAUACAUCUGUCAGCUCACAUAUGUCCGCAAAAGGAGUUCCCUGCAUUGAAGCAACAUAAAACAGCAUUACAAUCCAGCAUUCAUCUUGGAGAAGUGUUACCAUUACGAUGUGUAUACCUUUGCCCACUCGUAGACAACCUCAACAAGGCCAAACUUGAGAUUGUCACGUGCAUACUCCUCAGGAUCCACAGGUACCUUGAACUGUGCUUGGAGCGUUCCUAGUCUGAUCGCGGUAUCAUAAAGCCUAAUACAGAGAAAAACACAAUUGCAAAAGGUGCUUCAAACAUGUUUUCCAAGGAAAUACAACUGAGAUUCUUAAGAUGGAUCAUGACAGGAAACAAAAACAUGAUAGCAAAAGGUGAUUGAAACAUGUCUUCCGAGGAAAUACAACUGAGAUUCUUAAGAAGGAUCAUGACAGGAAACAGAAAAGGGGAGCAAAAAACUAAAAAUCUAACCUCUUUUUGGCUUCAGUCAAUUUUGGAGUAAGAGAUGGUUCUGAUGUAUUCCUCUGCUGGAAGACAAAUGCAGACAUAAUGGCCACGGCUUCUUCAGGUUCUAGGUCAUCCAAUUGAUUCUCGAACAGACAUUCUGUUGAUAUUAGCUCCUCACCGGAGUUCAUUUCACAGGCUACUCGUCCCUUAAGUUGCACAACUAGAUCAGAAUCAAUGUAGUUGAUUACCUUUAGUAAAUCAAUCUGCAAGGAUGGAAAAAUUAAAGUGUUAGAAAAUAACUUAAAAGUAUAGAAAUGAAAUCAGAGGUGGUUCACGGAAUGAUAUUAAAUUCUUGAAAAUCUGAUAAUAGCCAAUAUAAGCAUUCCACGUACAUUCACCUCGAUCUUAAUGAUUUGCAUGCAACUUUGUGAUCCUGUAUGGAUUGGGUAUAUAUGAAUCAUUUAUCUAUUAAGCCCAGCAUUUAAAAUCGAUAAUUCAAACUGUUGUUCCAGCACAGUAGGACUGGGACCAAAAACCUCCCAUAUGCACCAACGCAAAGCAAUUGAAGAAAUGACAAUAUCAGGUUUUUCCUAUGCUGCAGCGGCUAUGAUCCCUUGACCCGUUUUUCUUCAUGUACACAACAGGGCAGCAAGAGGAAAGAGUACAUGAAGAAGUCUUACUCUGCCUUGAAACUCCGGCAUCUGUUGAAGCGCCUCAUCUGACAUUUGGAAUUUCAAUUCAUUCAGCUGAUCCUUGUACACCUUUUGCUCCCUCAUCAAUGAUAUAUGCUCCUUCAGUUUUAUACAACCAUGACACUUGUUUUCAGACAUUUUUUGCAGUAGUCUGUGAUAUGCAUGGUAGCUUUCAACAAGAGACAUGCUCUUCAGAUUUAGAUCUAUAGCACCAAAUGACCACAUCAAAUAGUUAUACAGUUUACAAAUCAACUGAAGGAAAUCAGUGUGCUAAUGUUAUAUUCAGAGCUAAAAAUUAAAUUAAAGGGUGAAAUACACCAGAGGUCCUUAAACUUGUUCCAGAUUCUCUUCUUGGUCCAUAAACUCCGAAGUGAGCAUUUGGGUCCUUAAACUUUUUAAUUGGUUCAUUCCAAGUGAGGUCUAGGUACAUAAUUGGACCUGAAGUGAACUUAGAAUGAUCCACUUGAAAAGUUUAAGGAACCAGAUACCCACUUUGAGAAUUUAUGGACAUAGGUGAGAAUCUGAAAAAAGUUUAUGGACCCCUGGAGUAUUUCUCGAUAAAACAUACUGCUGAUAUUACUUGAGAACUUCGCAGGCAUGAAGGCCAACACACCUACACCAUUAUAUAAUUUUUGAACCAAAAUUCCUAUUUGAUAAUGCUGUUGAAUUAUUGUGUCUAACCCACUCAUCCCCCUAAAUCCAGGAAAAUAACAGGCUAGGAAAAAUGUCAGGCACAGUAUAAUGUAAGGUACUAAGAUGAACAUAUGGAACUUCAAGUUCAACAUCACUUGGGUUUGAGUUUUAAAUUCGGAUGGUUCAGCACAACCUAUUUACAGUUGUACAUGGUCACAUAUUUUUACCAUAUUCAUUUGGGUUUUUCAAAAAUCCUAUCUCUUUGGUCACUCAAACUUUGCCUGAUCCAAACAAACGCUUAGGAGUUUGGUGGUAAGUAUAAGCCACGAGAAUGCAGGAAAGCACCCAUUUACACUGUCCAACUUACAAGAUUGACAGAAUCAUAAGCAAUCCACUGUUUUAAAUAGCUGACUCCUUUCCUAGCCAGUUUAAACUUCAAUAAAAUAGCACAAAACAAAUAAUCGAGCCAUGCAGAAAAUUUUUACCUUUUAUUGCAUCUAAAGCAGGAGGAUACUUAGUUCCUUCUGGUUGCUCUUUUAUAAGCAGUUGGACAGUUUUGAAGUAAGCAGCUUUGCUACCGUCCUCAAGGAGUUUAACUUGAUCAAUCUUUAUUUUACUGGUGCAUAUACUCAUGAUCUCUUUUUUCUCUAUUGCUCUUACUUCAAAGCCCAUUCCAGAUGCAUCCCCCUUGUAUGGUAGGGAGAUUUUGAUAACACCUGAACCUUUUCGUGAGCUGCCGGAAGAGUAAUAUUCAUCAUCCAUGCCACGUUUUCCUUUCGGGGUAAUAAAGCGUCCUUGUUGAAAAUCCCCAGGUUCCUUUUCAGUUUUAUUGGACAGCUCAGGGGAUAAUGCAGAUGAAGUGCAAUCACCAGUCAAUACAAGAACAAUGUAUUUGUUUAGUGCUUGAGAUGGACCUUUCAAUAUAACACCAAGCAAGUGAUCAUCAUCCUGUCAAUAUGUUCAAAAGUCAUAGGGUUUUAAUGUGGAAACUGGAAAGGAUGCAACUAUAGCACAUCUAACAGUAUGUGUUCAAAAAAACCAGUCUUGUUCGAACAUAGGGCUAUGGUACAAAUGAUAGAAUGAUAGCCUCCAAAAAAAUUAAUAGAACCUUCCGAAGUACUUGCUUAAAUUUCCUGGUUAAUUUUAUCCUAAGCAUUUAAAGUGGAGGUGCUAAGUAAAAAGCUCACGGAAAUUUAGAUCGGCUUGAGCAAAGAAUAUUCUAAGAUCAAGCUUGAUUUCAAGCUCAAGAUUGAUCCCUAGCAAGCUAAUAUCAUGCUUGUGUAUGCUAAAGUCACAUGAUUUUUAGUGAUUCUUUUGGAUUUUGAACUCGGAUGUUUGAUGCUAAUUUAACAAGAGGGUUUAAACUUCAAUUUGGAACUUUAAAGAAUGCUUUGGUUUCUUCUAAGCUUCUCAUAUUUCUUUAUGUGCUACUUCUGUAUCUUGCUAAAUGCAUAUAGAAAAUCUAAAGACCCAAGUGCCGAGCAAACUUUCUAUUGAGUUUUUAACAGUUCGGUGUUGUGAAAUGAAGCAAUAGAACUAUGUAAAUAAAAGCAUUGCCAAAAGGAACCGACAAACAAAGAGGAAGUGUGCAAAGAGAAAUCCAAAUAUGAUUAAGACAUACAGUUUCAGAUUUAACGACCACCAAUCUCCCAGGCAUUAGGAACUGUUGAGCACUGGACGACUGCAUAAUUGCCUCUGUUAUACAUUCCCUAUGCGCCUCAGCUUCUAAUGACAUCUCAUAGUAUUCUUCAAUUGAAGGCUCUCCUUUUAUGCACCUAAUACAAGAAUAUAUAUAAUAUAAGGCAAAGCGAUAAAAGAAAAACUAAGUUCAGUGCACACAAAUACUGGAUACUACACUUUUAUCGGUACUUCAGAUAAACAAUGAAAACGUAUCAUAAACUGCCAUUGCAAAGAAAUUAUAAAAAUAAACUUGUUGCAAUUUUAUAAAGAAUGGAAAAUGCCUACAUCAGCAGGCUUCUCAUCCUUUGGGAGCUAAGGGCAGCUCUAAGCCUAUCCACGUUCAAUAUCCACAUCUCUGCAUUCGUGGAAUCAAAUCAUCGUCGCUACUCCUAGAGUUGGCUAUGAAAUAAUUGCUGCUAGCCUACUAGAUUGCUUGUGUAUUCAUUAUUGUCAAUUAGACAAACAUUUCCACGGUCCAUAUGAUUUAUUUAUUUAUAUAUAUAUAUUUUCACCUCUUCAUUGUGCCAAAGCAGUGGUAAUUACAGCCUACAAAGGAUCGUGGUUCCAGAAUUUGCCUACCAAAAUCACAAAUAAAACACCAAUACUUCAAGCUUUAGCUUUAUAUGUCAAAUGAAGAUUCACUUCUUUAUGUUUCCAUUUUUAUGUAGAAUUUGGAAAUUUGCUUUUGAAGUUUUGGCAUCUAUUGUAUCAAUCAGGUAAACAUGUUAAUGUCUCAGAAUCUUACUCUAUUGUCUUUGUAGGUUGACGAAGCAUUUGUAGAAGUAGCUUUUCCUUCUCAGGCAAAUUCUUUUGUGCAUGGAAUUCUGCAAAACUUCUCUUGAGCAUGUCCUCAACCUAUCAGAAAAAUCAUCAUUGAAGUAUAUUACCUUCCCUAUGCAUGAGGGCCUAUUUGUUUGAGCUUCAGCUUUUUGAAGAGCUGAUUCUAGAUUGUGGCUUUGAAAAUGCUGAUUUCCAAAAGCAGACUAUUGGAGUGCACAUGCUCAUAAAAACUGGAUACUUCUAGUGACAGAAAAGAGUGCCCCUGUCGCCCUUUAAUAGUCAAAUUAGUAUCAAAAGGAGAAAAAAUUUAACAUCAAAAGAGCCCUGAUAUAUACACUAUUGAGCAGAUAAUACAGAAAGUUUAUCAAAGACAGCCUUGGAAGUAAACUUUGUUAAGGCCUUGAGGGCAGUAGCAUAAUAGUCUGAUGUUAGUGCUUCACCUGAUGGUUUGCUGCAAUGUUUUUUUUUUUUGAAACAUAUGGUUUGCUACAAUGUUAUGUUUUAGGAAAGACUUCAGUGGCAUUUCAAGAGCCCAAUGGGCAACCAUAUGUAGCUAAACUAUACAGAAAACAAGGACGUUACCACAAAUACUCCUAACCGACACAUACUAUUACACAGCUACCCUUGACAUGCUGAAAUUUGGGAUGCCUUUAAUUCAGAAAUGCUUCUAUCACCACACGCACACACUUAUUGAUUUAAAGUAUUUUAAGGAAGCGCAGAGGCUGAUACAAGUACUGCCAUAGGAACAACAUAAAUGUCUUGUCUAGUUCUGUUUUCAGUCCAAACUCCAAAAAUUCAAAUGUGGACCUGUAAGACUCUAAGAAAUGUGCAUGGAUGCCAACAAGUAUAAGUGUUGAUAGGUAUACCUUCAGUUCCUCCACACGUAGAAGAUGUAGUAUCAUAGUGUAUGUUAAUCGAAAUUGAGAUUCCAAUCGAGUUGGUUUUCCAACAAUCAAAUUUUUCAAAUCACUUUCUUCAGGAAUUUCAUCACGACACAUAAUGAUCACUGUACCAAUGUUAUCAAGUCCUCUCCUACCAGCUCGUCCAGCCAUUUGAAUAUACUCCCCUGGAAGCAAUUUUCGGUGUUCUUUUCCAUCAAACUUUCUUAAGGAAUCAAACACAACCUGUUGGGUUUACAAAAACGCACUCAGAGCUAGCUUCACAAUCCUGAGCUUAAAGGCAUGGAAAAAGCAAGUGCAACCUAAGCACAGUUAAAGUUAGCUCAGUCCAAAAGUGCACAACGAAACAAGAAAUCAAAGCAUGCAUCUGUGUGUCUCAAACAUCUAUGUUUACAUGAGUUCUCUUUCCAACAAAGAAACACUGAGCAAUGCAUCAUAUGUAACUGUGAACAGCAAACAACAGAAUAUGUAGAAAUGGAAAUAUGUAAACAAAUGUUGGUAAGAUUAAUGCAUAAAAAGUUGGUUUCAUCAAGGCAUGUUGAAUUAAAGCAUGCCAACCUGCAGUCCAUAGUGCAAUCAUAUAAAUUAGAUUGCUAUUUGCGCUUAAAUAUCCCUGUAGCAGCUUCCAAUUUGGAAGAGAUUGUGUAUCAACAGGAAAAUGACAGGGAUUGUGUUCCCAUGGUCGAAAAAAAACACAAAUAAAAUUAAUAAGUAGACAGUGGAAUGCAAGCGGUACCACCUAACAUAGAGUCGAAUGGUAUUUGGUAAUAAAAAUACUACAGCGAUUUAUUCAAGAUACAAAAGCCUUGAAAAUCUUUAUUAGGCACAAAGAAUCUCACCGUUCUUGCUGGUGCAUUAACACCCAUAGCAAAUGUCUCAGUGGAAAACAGUACCUGAAAAAAGUUCAAGAAAGUUAAAAAUUUACCAUUCAGUUAAUUAAGACGCAAUUGUACCACAACAUGCUAUAAUUGUCAAAGGAGCGUUAAAAAAAAGUAACUUUUCAGGAGCAACUGACAACACUGCGAUGUGAUCACAAACAUAGUUUCUCUAUUACUGUUUCAAGUUAAUGGACACCUGCAGCAACUUUGGACAGGACAGGAUGUACUUAAGCCAGUGAUCAGCAUUUGCAAUUUUUUGUUCUAAAUCUAGUAAACAUCCAACAGUCUCAUAAACUAGAGUUCAUGCAUGGACUCGUUUCCUACGAGCUUCAAGAAGUGAAAUUACUAAGGCAAACGCCAUCAUGAAAAAAAAAAGGAACAAGCUGCUGCAUCGGUUAGUACUUAGUACAACAGCAUCUAGUAUGUAAUUAAAUAUGCUACGUAUACAAGUUACCAGAUGUUCAAAGCAUAACCUUGAUUACGCCACGACAGAAUAGCAUCUCAACCACUUCCUUCACAAUAGGGAGAAGCCCAGCAUGGUGUACUCCAAUUCCUCUUCGUAGAAAACUUUGUAUUCCUACAACCUAUCAAGGAGGUCAAAGUUUAAAGCACUGAUUGAAGCAAAGGCGCACAGGAUACAGCACUAAAAUUUAUGAGGUAUUAGAUCACCUGUGGAAGGUUCCUAUCAGAUCCUUUAAGGCGCGAAAAUGCCUUGUCACAGAAGACACGGAUUUCACUUUUCUCCGAACUACUGGUGAGAUCAGUGCCAAACAUGCUAUCUGCCGAUUUAUCACAACGGUUCUUUGAGAAACAAAAGAUCACCACCUGCAAAAGGACCAUCUAAUGAUCAGAUAAACACAUUUCAAAUGUGAAAUGACAUGGUAUGAUUAUGAUAAAAAGGAAAAGUAGAAUCCAUAACCAAAAUGUUGAGUAAUUGUCAUUUUACAACAUGUUGAGAUAGGCUUCAGCAUACAAAUCUAGGGUAAAACAAAUUCAAUGUAAAUGCUGAACAAGAAAGAGGUCAAAUAGAACUAAUAAUGUCAUGAUUGCAUGAUAGAGAAAACAGAAAAGUUAUACUCUCACAUACAGGCACAAGGGAUUUCUUCAGCAGGUUAUUCACAAGUGGCAUCCAAAAUGAAGAUUCUGAUCUCUUUGGCCCUGAGGAGCUUUGUGAAACUGCUGCUGCUCCUGAAUUGGCAUUGUGGUGCUUUGGGUACUUCUGAUCUCUCCCCCUGCUUGAUGUAUCAGGAUUUUUGCCUUGAAUUCCAGCACGUACUGCAGGUGUUCCUGAUUUUGGACCAGGUUUCACUCCAAGCUUGUUAGAAUUUUUCUUUUUGAAAGCAUCCUUUGCUUCUCUAAACCCUUGAGUAAGAAAGGUAUCCCUCUCACAUAUUUUGUACAUUUCUCCAGAAUAGAACAAGCAAUGCUCAAGCGGAACAGGCCUUUUGUUAGUCCUGGUGAACACAUAAUGACAGUAUUGUGCAAUCAAAAUUAUAGCUGGAGGUAUCCAAGCAUAUUCAAAUUUUGCACUUUAAGGCAAAGCUACACUAUCAGCCACUUAACUGUUUGGCCCUCUGCAAUCAAACCCCUAGUCUAAUCUUAUUUAUCCAAUCCCCUAUAUUAUCCACUUAUAUGUAAUCAAGUCCCUUUAAACCAAUCGAUUUAAUUUGUGCUCCUCAACCGAUUUUGUUUAGUUAAGCAUGGCCCUUUCAAUUGGUGCUACUCAGCUUUAUUCAACUUUGAACUAAUGCAUAGGUGUCUGGACAUUAAGUUAAAUCAAUCAAGAUUUGCAUCUUAAACUCAAAAUGUUAACUAACUAAUAUUGGUCUAAAUCCUCAUUAAAAAAUAAACUCUAAUAUGCUGCCAGGUUUUGGCUUAUAAAUGUAUCAUAUUUGUGCAACGUUAGCAAUCUGUUGUAAUCUAAAUUCAUUAAUCAUCUAUAUUACAAACAGAGGAGAGAGCCUUUUCUACAAUCAUCUUUCAUAGUGUACGGGCAAUCAUUGUCCUUGGAUCGCAUGCGUUUACUUGCGAAAUUAUUUUCAUAUCCUGAAAAAUUCAAGGCCAAACUAAGGUCGUGUUUGUUUCAGCUUCGGAUUGUGGCUUUUACAAUCAUAAGCCGAAACAAAUAAGCAGUCUGUCACCCCUGAUCAUAACCAAUUAAUUUCCCUCUUAUACAAUUGAGUACAAGAAUGCUUCAGAACCUAGAAAUGAGUUGUAUUUAAUGGCUACACCACCCUCAUAACCUGUCAUAAAAAACAAGUAACUGAAAUUUAUGAUUUUUAAAAUAACAAUUCCCCGAUAAGGUAGAUUCCAUGUACCCGUUGACUAGCAUGGAGAAAGGAGCUAAUUGGGUAAUUAGAACCAACCUGGUGGCUAAAGCAACUGAUAAUACAGUUCAAGGGCCUUAAUCUAAUUAAUUAUCUUAAAAUACGUACUAACAGCACUUACGACGUGACACGAAUUUUCUUCUGCUUUGUUCGACCAAUCCAGUCAGCAAAUUCAACUGUAUUUGGAACCUGAGAAGAAACAAUUAGGGUUCAACUCCAAACUAAAUUUGAACCAGAGAAAUAAUAUAGAGUUCUCGAACUUUAUUCAUAACAAGCAAAGAAAUUCCGACUACUGCAGUGCAUUAAAAUGGUAAUUUUUGCAUCAGAUUAUUGUAUUAAUCAUUGUUGAUAUUUAGAGGACCAAUUUUCAGUUAUUUUGUUUCCAUGUAGUCCUAUUUCAAUUUGUGGUUGAAUACUAACAGCCAAAAUUUGGACAAUUAACAUCAGAGAAGAUGUCACUUUAGUGCAUGAGUAUCAGAAAUCAGGGUGAUAACACUAUAAGAUCAAAGUCACAUGCUAUAAACUCGGCCAAUCGCACUUCCUAGCAAAAUUCACCUAAGGUCAGAGUUCUGCAUCAACUAUUUCAAAAGAAUAAAAGAUCAAAAGCGACUACAAAUGGCAUUAGCAUGCCAUACUGUCCUAGUUAUUAUUAGGCAACUGUUUGAACAACCAAUAGUGUGCACUGUGCACAGAAUGUUUGGUUGAUAGUGAGCAUAGUGGCUCAAGUGCAGUUCUCAUUAAAUCCGUACCGUUGCCGAAAGGAGAACAAUGUUAAUGUGCUUCGGGAGCAUUAUAAUAACUUCCUCCCAAACUACACCUCUUUCAGCGUCGUUUACAUAAUGCACUUCAUCAAAGAUUACCUGAUUGUACAAGUAACCACACAUCAGCACACACUACUCCUUAAGAUUAUAAAAAUGAUAUUCAAAAUUAAAGGCACAGAGUAAUACACAAUGAUGCAGAAUUGAAAUGGCUUACCCAUUCAAUGUCACGUAUAAUGUCCGCACCUCUGUAGAGCAUUGAGCGCAAUAUUUCAGUAGUCAUAAUUAAACAAGUUGCCUCUGGCCUGAUGCUGACAUCUCCUGUCAGAAGUCCCACAUCAAACUUUCCAGAGAAAUCUCGGUAUUUCUGGUUGCUGAUAGUUUUAAUAGGAGCAGUAUAGACAGCCCGAGUACAAUGCUGCAUAACAAAAUUAUCUGUCAUCAUAAGACCCAUGCUAACAUUUUCUUUUUAUCCGGUGCUGGUUUAAGCCAACUAUUAUGGUAAGCAACGAGAGAUAGUGCACGGAAGUAUGUAGUCUAAAGCUCCAUCUACUAACAAAACUACAAAAGUAACGGUGAAAUCUUAUCAGAAACUAAGAACUGCACACUUCUCAAAGGUUAAGUUAAAGCUUUCCCUCCUAACAGAAGCUGGGUGCUGAACAUCACAGUUUACAAGCUAUAAAUGUGGAAGACGUUAGGUGGUUUCAAAUGAACAGAAGUGCCCAAAAAAAGAAGAAAGAGCAAAGGCAGUCAUACUUUUGUUGCUAAAGCAAAUGCAUACUCGGCAACAACUGUCUUUCCUGCUGAAGUAUGGGCUGCAACGAAGACUGACUCACCCUUCUCAAGAUAAUAUAUAGCCUGUGCUUGGUAGACAUAAAAAAUGUAUAGAUUAUCAAAUUGGCAAUUAUACCAAGCAUUUAAAAACGUAUUAAUUUCAAAAACAUAUUGGUAGGUGAUAGCAAUUAAAUGCCUCCUUGUAAUACAUAGUUCGCACAGGAAAUAUAGAGGAAAGGAAAUAUCUGUCCACUUGGUGUUUCCUUUCAUUCAAAAUUUCUGUGGUAAUCUUGUAUUCCAGUUCAAGGAAGGACAAGAUAAAGAGAAGACUGGACAGCACAGAAAAGACAGAAUAGCAUCGUCGUUCAUCAAUUUCUUAAUUGCUAUUCAAAUUGAAAAAAAAAACUCAGAAGUAUGAAAGCCAGUGACCUCAGCUGGGAAGGACAGAAAUUUAAUCAGUAGAGUCUUUUGGAAGGACUAAUGAUUCCUAGUAUAAUUUGAGUGAGGUUUUUCAGAGUUCAGGUUAACUUAGAAAUUCACACUAUGGCACAUAAAGAAAAAUGGAGAAACGGCAGAGCAAGAGGUUUAGAUGGCGAACAUUGUUAGCUCCCAUACAAAAAAAGCGGGAGUAGUAUUCUCAACACAUCUAUAGUGACUAGAAAUAGCCACUCUAACUAUCCUAAGUCCUAAUAAAAUCUUGUCAAGUUCAAGUUGUGACUGAGUAUAUACUAUCAAACUAAAAUUGCAGGCCAAGCCUGUCAAAUAUAUACAAAGUAUCACAACCACAAAUAUGUAGUAUGAAUGUGCCUAUCAAAGUUCAUGUAAAAGGAGCGGUGUAUACUCUUUGGAUGCAGUAGUAUACUAGAUGCUGAGAUAAGUACUGAGAAGGCAUUAAGAUAGAAGGCACAGAUGAUUAUGAGUACCUUACCUCCUUCUGGAACUUAUCUAAUUCAAAUGGAAAGUCGAUUGCCAUAUCUGGAACGAGAUUGUAGAAGUUAGUCACAAUAUCUUCGUCCCCACCAACAAGUGCCCAAACCUAUAAGUGAAAUAGAGAUACAUUGCCGUUAAAGAUUCAUCCAUGAUCUAUCUUUAGACUUUAGGGAAUUGAGAGACCACUUUCUGCAACACUAUCCACCCAUGAAGCUUAUGGAAUGAGAAGCACAGCAUACGAAGUGAGAUACAAAACGAAGCAUAAAGUGUGCCUACCUUGCCAUCAUGUGUUGGCUUGUCAUCACCUGAUAUACCUGAUUCUUUUCGUGUAUCUUGAACUUCAGAAGAUAACAUUUGAUCCAAGUCUGUUUGAGUUUCAGGAUCAUCCCUUAUAACAUCUGCUUCAUGAUUCUCGGCGUCUAGCUUUGUUAUAGUCUCAGAAGCACCUUGCCACACAUCAACUUUUUGUUCGCCAACUUCUGCCAUCGGAAAAUGAAAAUCUUAACAAGAAACAAUAAAGAGUUAACAAAAGCACAGAAAUGCAAUAAUGUCAUAGUAGCAAUAAUGGUGAUGACAGCCCAUAGUCUCUUAGCUAUUACAAUUUGCCAAGAGAAUAUGCUCAUGCGACUUGAACAUAUACCUUUGGUUCCCUCAUCUUCAGCCGAUUGUUGAACACCACCCUCCUGCAAUGCCUUGUUGGCAGCAUCUUCCUCCCACGCUAUCUUGAAAAGAUCAUCAAACUGCACUGAGUACUUCUCCUGCAGGAAAAUGGGAUAAUCAGACUAUAAUAACUCUAGAAUGGCAAAGUAUGCAGAAAUGUGGAAUGUUGCUCUAACUACCAUUGCGUCAUUCGAUGACGAUACAGGUUGCUCCUCUACAAGUUCUCCAUUCCGGAAACACUUCCAUUGGCUUUUAUACUCCUACAAGAGAGGUAUAGACAACCGCAGUCAGUUUGGCGCAUCCACAACAAUCCUUACGGUUACAUGGCAAAAGAGAGAGAAAUAUAGUAAAGGACAAACCUUCAAUUGGCCCAAUUCCAAUCCCUUGCGGAACCCCGGAGGAGCAACCUGUGCCGGGCCACCAGUCAUAAGCUCACGCAUCCAAUCACCGUUACGCGCACCCUCCGGGAAUGCCUUCUCCAAUGCAGCCGCCUCAACAUCGUCAUCCUGUAGACCACCCGGACGAAAGGGUCUGUUGUUGAUGCUCCCCCUGACGAAGUCCUUCGCCGGACCAGGCAUCCGUGGCGCCAAACCCACGGUCCCCGAACCGAACACCUCGCCCAUCUCCAUCUGCACGGACUCAGGAUCCCACACUUGCGACUCCAACGCAGGCUGCGACGUUCCCCGGCCGCGCCGGAAAGGCGGCUCCCAGGCGGGCGCGAGCACUGUGCGCGGUGCGGAGGGCUCCAGCGGCGGCCUGGUCAGUGCAAACCAGUCCACGUCCCACACCCUCCCGGCAUCGGCCGCGGUGGGGAGGUGGAGCUCGGGGUUGAGGUAGUUCGCCUCGAGGUACUCCUUCAAGCUGCUCGGGCUCCCAGGCGGGUAGGCCGGCGGCUGUGGGUCGUCACCACAACAAUGGCGGGUUUAGGGUUUACAGAUUGCAGAGAACAACACGGGUGAUUUAGGGCGGAAUUGGUGGGUCGCGUACGUACCAGGACGAAUUCGGGAAUGGGGCUGGAAGGGUGCGGGGUAGGGUCGAGGCGGAGGUGGCCACCGUGGCCGGAGAAGCUGAUGCGGAACGGUAACUCGCUCGCCGGCGAGGGGGCAGGGCCGUCCAUGGAGGCGCCUCGCGGCGAGGCGGCCGUUUCCGUUUCGACGAACUGCUUCAGAGUUCAGAAGCUUGGAACUUGAGAGCCUGCUUGCAAGUUCACAGCGUUUCGGUCAUGUCCUGGAGAAAUCAUUACCAAAAGAUUUUGACAGCAUGUCAACAGGGUAAGGCUUGUUCCAGGUCAAAAAAAAAAGAUCACAGAUUUUUGCCCCUUCGUUAAGACCCGUUUCAAACCAAAAAUCCCCUUUGAAAUGCUAAGAUUAUUAUGCAUAAACCAAAUAAUUUCCGGUGGAAACCAAUAAAAUCCCCCCCCCAACCCAGUACGGAUCAAGGUUUUUUUUUACUUAUGCUCUUCAUAAUGGUCAAGGCAAGUAUGGAAUUCAGUAACUUUAAUAUCUCCUCUUUCUUUUUAUAUAAAAUCAUAAAGUUCAUAACAAAUCCUUGUACGUAAAUGUAUCUGCACGGAGAAUUAGUACUUUUAGUAUUUGACCUCUCAAAAACUGUACGUAUGUUUCACAUAAGAACCAUAAGUAUGAUUUCAUUUUCACGAGGAUCAAAGAAAGAACAUGUUAUUAACCUCAUCUUGCACCUAAUGGCAUCGUGAAAUUUGCCUAGUGAUAGUUUUUUUCUAUAAAUUAAAUAAAUCAACAUUUUAUUUCAUUUUCAAUUAGAGUAGAAAUCUUAUCUGGAGCAUGAAUUAUUUGCUCCAUCACAUAAGAGUUUGAGCCAUGUGAUAAGUUUUCAAGCUUACAUGGUCCAGGCUAUUGCGGUUUUGUACGGUAACAUGGCUUCCGAGUUUUAAUUCUAGAAUAUUUUGAACUCGACAUCUUGCAUGAUCGCUAAAGAGUAAUGUUCAAACCUCCUUGCAUACCAUGGCUUUUAAGAAAAAAUUGUGAUGAGUUGUUUGGUAGAUUACUCAAUUUAUCUUCAUCUGUAAAGUAUGAUAGCAUCAAUGACACCAUUGUUAUGAAACCCUUCCUAGAGCUCAAUCGUGUUUGUAACUUGUUGUAGUUUAAUUUGAAAAAAAUCCAAUUUACUACCUCCAAAUAUAUGGUAGAUCCAAAUAACCACCUAAACAAUAAAAUGGUUUAUUUAACCCCUAGUUUGCUAAACCAGAUCAAGACACACAUUUAGUACAUAUUUGAAACCAUUGUUGAUUAGGCGGAAUUAGAAAUCUAGUUUGCUAACUAGGAUCGACAUGUCAGCAGCCCAACGUGGCACGUAUAUUUAUGUUCAGAUCACCCCCUGCCUGACAAUACAUAGUAUUACUCAUGUUCUUCCUCAUUUCUAUCCGGUUCGACAGUGCCCAGCUCCACCGCCGGCGGCCGCGAGGCGCCGGCACAGCGGCACCCUCCCGGCACUGUCCUGUUGCCGCUUGGUGCAGAACGCCUGGCUUCACAGCAGCCUUUGCCCCUGGGCGGCAUCUGGCUCUUGCCUCGCCACCGCUUGCUGCUCGGCGCACGGCUGGAAGAGCACGAACUAGGAGCCGUUGUUUUUGGGGUGGUGUCACUGCCGGCUCUAAGGAUCAAGCGACGCACAUCCUCCACCUCAUGCUGGGUAGGUAUUCGAUGAAUUGUUUCUUUAGUAAAUAUUUCACUGACGCAACAAUUUUUAUAGCCUGAGGUUGCCUUGGCUUGUAAUUUUGUAGUAAAUUGAAUGUACAAAUUUCAGUUUGUUGUCUUCUGCUACUUUAUGGUCCAUUUGGAAACUGAUUGGACCCAAUCUCUCUCUAGAACUUGACAGCAUCGAGCAACUUUUGGACCCCAUGGUCAACUCUACCAGGCUCUUUGCUUAGUAUCUCUGUAUCUGAAGGAAGAACCGUACAAUGCCGCACUGAAGUGUUCCAAGUGACAAUGUACCACUGAAUUAAACCAUCAUAUCCAGGUAACUAAUCAAAAUUAAAGUACAGUGAUUUACUAGACUACCAGCUAGCAAUUAUUACAUCGAAAUAUAAGGAAUCCUGCCAUAUGCUACCAACAUAGCAUGUUACUGCCUGGAAGUUUUUUUCUUUUGCUUUGCAGCAGCUAGUUUCUUCUUCUUGCUCGCAGUACUGUUGAAGCUGCUCUGGGAAGGCAUAUUAGAUGCCUCAUCUUGAGUGUUGCCUGGAGCUGCUGCAUUGUUUCUGGACUUUUUUUGGCCCACUGCACUCCAAACCUGGAACAAUAAUUUCAGUUAACAACACUUAAAUAAUAAUUAAUUGUAUAGCAAAAGAAUGAGAAAUGUUACUUGCCUCUUUGCCUUUCUCCAUGAUGUUUCUCUUCUUUGAUUUAGACUUUGCUCCACAUCUUCGAAUGUUGUGACCUGGUUGAUGACACUUGCUACAGUUACCUCUCGAGCCCACCCUAGAGACCUUUGUGGCCUUUUUUGCUUCACUAGGUUCCCUUCUUCUCUCCUUUCUCGGCCUACCUGGCAUCUUCACAUAGGCUGGAGGCUUAGGCUUGCCGUGACCUCUUGGCCACUGUUGCAUUCCCUCCAUUGGCAUCAUGCAGUGAUCAUAUGUCUUGUUGUAGUGCUCAACUGAAUAGCAGUCAGCUAUGUAAUCUUCAGGUGGUUUAGAACUGAGAUAAAGUGCAGUGAUAGCAUGAGCACAAGGGAUACCUGCCAGCUGCCAGUAUUUGCAAGAACAAGUUCUUCUCUCUACAUCAAUUUUGAACCUCUUGUCCCACACUUUCACCUCAAAGCCAUCCUUCCCAUUCCAAAUUGCAAAGCAUUUCUGUGCAAGAUUAAUAUACUUGUUCACAUGUCCACAUGACUAAUUCACCACCUACAGCCUUGUAUAUCUCGGCAUAAACUUCAGCUACUUCACCCACUAUGAUACAAUCAGACAUGUACCUGCAACUCUGAUCAUCAGCUAAGCUCCUCACACCGUUACUCAUAUCAGCUCCGGGGGGCAGCCAAUGAAAAUCAACAUCCUCAACUGUCAAAUUGACAGGGUCACUAAGAAAACCCCUCAACUCUGGCAGUGAUAGCUUAUCCCUCUCUAUGUGUGACAAUGCAAUUCUACCACGCACAUAGUUCAAUGAGUAACCAUCAAAAUCAAAUUCGCCUCCAAAGUGAAAUCUUACAGGCACUACCUCCAGAGGGUCCAUAUCCCCUGUCCAGAAUUGUAAAAAGCAAGGUGUAUAACCAUCACAUUUUUUCUAGAAAAAAAAAAGAAAGUGAAAUCAGACCUGAGUGCUCCGUGCUGCUAGCUUGAGUACUAAUUAUAUUGAUCCACAAGAUAUCUAAUGACCACGUUCUUGGUCCCUACCUAAGCAUGAUGGCCAUGGUCAUGUUCAUGCAAUUAUCCCAACAACCAUUAAUAUCCCUCCUCACGUCAUGACACAUCAAUGUGCACAAACAAAAGAUCCUGCUCCAGUUUCUCUCUUAACUUCACGGUGCCAUCCACAGUUUCUACCUGUGCUACGAAGACACGUCGCCGGCUGCUACCUUGCAAAUACACAACCCUAGGUAUCCAAAGUCCUAGCCGCAAGUGCAAAUUAAUAUGUCAUAUUUGCAUCACACGAGGGAGAUUGGAAAAUGGAAACAUACCUGCCCGUUUUCGUUUGUGCUGAUGAACUUGUUCACUCCUAUAUCAUUCACCUAGUUGAUCUGGCUGUGUCACGCAGAAACCGAAGGCGAGGGCCGGCGGCCGGCGGGCGAAAUAAAAUUGACGAGCGAGAGAAGGGGAAGACACGGGACGGCCUAUUUUGGAUCUAAAGAUACUUGCCAUGUAUGGCUGCCAAGGUGUCAGUCUUAGUCAUAAAAAACCGGCCAUGUCAGCAAAUCUGGUUUUAGAUAUGUGUAAAAGGUGUGUUUUGAUCUGGUUUAGCAAACUAGGGGGUUAAAUAAACUAUUUUAUUGUUUAGGGGUUAUUUGGACCUACCAUAUACUUGGAGGCGGUAAAUUAGACUUUUUCCUUUUAAUUUCGAAGGUGCCUUUUUAUCCCUAUUUUGUGUUGUAAUAUAUUUCUAAAUUUUAGUAGAUCUAAGACCGUGAAAGCAUUUCUGAAGACAAAUGCACAUGAGUAACUUGUAUUUUCCAAACAGAAAUGUAUUUUGAAGUCAUUGACGUACAAGCUUUAAAAAAUCUAACCAAAUGGAUUAUUUUAUAAAAGGAAAAAAAUGUUUCCUAUAUUGCAAGGAACUAGUUUCCAUUUCUUUCCUAAAAGUUUACAUGGCACAUGUUUAUAGAUUGCAAAUUUUAGUUCCCUUCUUAAGGCCUAACACAGCAAGAUAUAUUGAAAAUAAAGAUGCAUAGCCUGGACAUAGGCACGUAGCAAUAAAAACUUAACCGAUAGCACUACAAAUAUCUUCUGCAUGUCCGAAUUACCAACGAAGGCAUGCCCAACUCCGAUCAGAAGUUUGAAAACAAGGCAACGAGUUUUCAAAAUUCAAAAGAGUUUAAUUCACAAGACGAAAGACAAGGCCUAUGGUUAAUUUAGAGAUCCUAUAUUACCGGGUGCUCUCCUCUCCUCAAUCCCAUCGCUCUCCUUGUUCGCUCCGGGCUCCCACUCCGACUCGAUCCCUUCACAAAAACACCUCCAUAUGCAUGCACCUCCUCACCGAUGCUGCCGCAAGUCGUUCCGAAUUCGUCUUUCUUUCCCGGAGCUCAUCACAUCUCGAGCGCGCGUUGAAUUCCUGAUGCGAGGAUAGGAAUCGAUCGACCUGCAGCUUCCACACACGCGCCGGUGCAGCGGUCUCUAGUCGGCGUCGGCGUCGGCGUCAGCUGGGAACGCCGCCGGCCAUGGCGAUGUCGGCUUUGUCAACGUCCGCCCUGAGCUCUCUGGAAGCGAUGCUCCAGUCGCUGAUGCGAGGAUCAGGAGGAGGAGGCGGCGACGACGACACGCCCGUAGACGACACCCUCGCCUCCCCGCCGCCGCCGCCUCUACCCGCACGGCCGACCCCACGAGGCCGUCGUCCCUCGCGUCGCAGAGUCCGGCCCGCCGCGGCGGCGCGUACAUUGAUGUCACCGCCGCCGUCGUCGUCGCGGUCACCGUCGCCGUCACCGCCCAAGGUUCCACCCCCCAUUAACGUCAUCAGCAUUGUCCAUUGAUUUGUCUCAAAUGAUCCGUGAUCGCGAGAAUUAACCAGCCGCCACGCAUCUGAUGGCUUGCGUUGGCUCAUUAUGGCAGGAACGGGAAGACGCUAGGACGGAUGAUGUCUCGCUGCUGGUGGAGGGGCUGGAGAGGAAGGCGGUGGAGUUGGAGGCGCAGCUGCGGCGCCGCAGCGAGGAGGAGAACGCCGCGCUGAAGCGGCGGAUGGAGAGCUACCACAUCCGGUGGCUGCAGUACGAGAUCAGGAUCAAGUCCCUGGAGGAAGCCUUCCACGAACAAAUGGCCGCUCUGCAGGUUCGUCGGAGUCCUGAAUGAGCACUGCAAAAGUUUUGCACGCACCGUCGACAUCCCAGUCUGAAACUCUGAACGCGAUGAUCCAUCGUCUUCUUCCUCGCGUGUCUGUGUUGAUGCAUGCAGCUGGCUCAGGACGCGGCACGGAGGGCCGAGGAAACGGCGGCGUACGACCACCGCGAAUCCUCGGAACACCACGUCGACGCGCCCGAGGACCCGCCGGUGAGGCUGUGGCACGGCCGGGACCGCAUGGUGGUGGGCGCCAGGCGGAGCGCGGUGAGCCGCCUCGGCGCGGAGUUCCGGCGCCAGAGCCACACGCUGGAGCGCGGCGCGGAGGCGCUCGUCGCCGAGGAGCCGGCGGCGGCCGCCCCGAGCGGCGGCUGCCCCUCCUCCUCCGCCGCCGACGACCUGAAGAAGCUCAAGGCGCAGUUCCGCGCAUGGACCAAGGACUACAAGGCCCGGCUGCGCAGGACCAAGGCCGAGCUCGGCAGCAGGGACGCGCGGCGUCAGGGCAGCUGCUGGAUCUGAACCUGUCACGUAUGGAGUUCGUCUAUGAAUGAUGGUGUGAAAUUUUAAUUCAGAGAUUCGACGAAUUUCAUGAAAUCGAUUCAAAUCUUGGAGUAGAAAUCUUUGGCAACGUUGAAUGAGAUGUAGCCGUACAAAGAAUUCAAAUCAUGCGCAUGCUGUAGCCGUUCAGUUGUUCAACCACUGGAGUAGCAGCUGUGAGUAGCGCAGGAAGACGAGAUAAAAAAAUAAGUUUGGCUUGAUUUCAGGUGAGGAUUUUACCGGUCUACGAUUAGGGAUUACGUUACCGUCACCUUGCUUGAAAGGUGCUGCACGAUUUGACGGCAGGGCAGGGGAUUAUGCGGAUGGCUCCUCGGCUCCUGCCCUGGGCCUGCUACAGCGUGACCGCGAAACAGUAAUCAACGAACGAUGUGGCCAUUUUCUCUGAGAAGGGUUAGCGCCAGCUACUGGGUGUCACCUCACCAGGAAAAUGUCCACGACAGCGAGAGGAGAGGGAGACCGGGAGGAAGGUUCUCUGUUCUCUCGACAUUCAGCAACGUGUUUUUAUAGAAGUUUUUGGGAGUUUAGCACGCCUGACAUCCCAAACGAGAUCAAAAACUGCAACGAACGACCCUUCACUUAUCAACGGCGGAGCAGCCACCGGCAUGGCAAUAUGAUGGAAACGACUGAACUGAAAAAAUCGCUAGCAUUUUUGCAUAUGAAUGUAAAACAACAAUGAGAUGGCUUUCCCACGGGUUUGGCAGGGGAGAGAGAACCAGGGAGGGUCAUGUGAAAGUGGGUUGGAGCACGAACCGACGGCUAUAUUCUUUUUGCAAACCUUUAUAUCUUUAUCAGCAAAGAACAGUUGAAUUGCAACCAUUAGAUCAAUCAUCGAAUUCUAGGGUUUUCAUUAUCUCCGAACCAGCUACAAUGACCCAUUUCUCCUCCUCCUUUUUGUCUUGAAGUUGAAAUUGGCAUAGGUAUCACAUCAUUGACUACAACACAUCAUUCUUGGCUUUCUAUGCCGUCAUCUUCUUGUACUAUCUCUUUAUAUUACAAUAUGCUCACGACCCUUCCAUCUGAAAUUACUGGUUAUUAUUUAUUCAUAUCCAACAUUUUGUCCACUAGAUUUGUGAUGGAGAGAUAGAUGCAAAAGCAUUGAUUGUUAUAUGACAUCUUGUGGUGGUGGAUCAAAGAAUGAAUUCUGAUGCCAAUCAAAUGGAAAGUCAUUCAAUUGUCCCCCAAUAUAAAUGUCUGACUAGUUAGCAGAACGGAAUGAGAUCACUGGUUUCAAUAGGAUCAUAUUGUAUGAAAACCUACGUUUUUCAUCUUAAUUUUGUUUUGCUUUGCUUUGCUUUUAGUUAGUGUUUGUUGAUUCUCUUUCGAGUCCUGUCUAAUAAGCUAGGGCUCCUUCAACCCGAACUUGCAUCGAUUUUGACUAUUUAAGGCAACUCAUCAUAUCAUAAAAUACUUGACGCAUUUGAUAAAAAAAUCUUGCCAAACUUUUAAAGCCACGACCAUCAAUAAUUGUCAUAAUCUUAUAUUUAUUCGAUAUUGUGACUAUACUUGUAUAAGAAAAGAAAAUACUAGCCAAAGCUAAGCAUCAAAUCAAAAAAGCUAUAGACAUCAAGUAUUAGUGACCGGUUCAACCUUAUAUUGGCACAUAUACUGCUCUGUUAACCUUUUUCCAUUAUUAAAAGGUGACAAUUCUCGUGUUCGCUAAAACGCGGUAAUAUUUGUUACUUGUUCUUAUUUCUAUGUACUUUCCUAAAACAACUGACUAAACCGUACCAACAAUUUUUUUAGAAAUAUGACCAAUCAAUUUAUUCUAAUCCACUCGAAACAAGAAGAUGAUAACAAGUGACCGAACAUGCAACCACACACGUGACUCUUGUAUUCUUUCUCGUUCCUCUCAAGUGCCAUGGAUACUCGCUACGCCUCUAUCUCCCUUACCACUAUCACUCACCGUGAUACCCCGCACCAGCACGUUCAAUAUAACCUAAUCGCUAGAUCGAUAUGGCUUCUAUGCGAAGAAGAGUGUAAUCUUAAACCUGACUUCUUUUUUGGCAGAAAAAAUAGGAAGAUCCUCUCCAAAACGAAGCAGUGGAAUUAAAAAAAGGAAAGAAAACAAUGCCUGCUUCCACAGAAUUAGCAGGCAUUUUAUCCGAGGGCUCAAGAUUAGCACAGCAUUGAAAACGGCGCGAAAGGUAAGCAAAAAGGGAGAGAGAAGAAGGUCGCAGCCGGCGACCCGGCGAAAAGCCCAAACGGUAAAGCAACGUCGCACCGCACCGCAUCGCAACGCAAAGGAGGGGAGCGAGCGGAGGAGCGUGAGCCGGGUGACCCGCGCCGCGCCCCCCACCCCAACAAGUAGCCAGCCAGCCAGCCAGAGCACACCACCAGCCGAGGCCAGAGAGAGAGAGAGGGAGGAAAGAGGGAAGCGGGCACAAGAGGCCACCGCAGCGGCGAGCAAGACGCCUCCACACGUCUCUCCUCCUUCCCCUUCUUCCCCUCCCGUUCCUGUAGCGGCGCCCAGCCCAGCCCCAAACCCCGUGGAAUCCUCGCCCGAUGCGGCGCGGGUAGGGGCCGGGGGCGGAGCGGAAUGGCGGGGGGCGGCGAGAAGCGGCGCCGGGUGGGAGGUGGGGGCCACGAGGAGGAGGAGGAGGAGGUGAAGGAGAUGGACCGCAUCUCGGAGCUGCCGGACGCGCUGCGGCUGCAGAUUCUGAGCCUGCUGCCGCUCAAAUCGGCCAUCCGCACCGGCGCGCUCUCCUCGCGGUGGCGGGGCCUCUGGGAGCAGCGCUGGCCGGAGCCGUCCUCGCUGCGCGUCCGCCUCCCGCCCGGCGCGGCGGGGGCGGCGGCGCGGGUGGAGCAGUUCGGGGCCAUCGACCGCCGCGGGAGGCGCCGGAUGGACUGCUUCUCGCUCGCCUUCCACGGGGGGCAGCUCACGCAGCCGGACCUCAGGCGCUGCCUCGACUACGCGGCCGCGUGCGAGGUCGAGGACCUGCACCUCCGCCUCGACGGCGCCGCGGGGAGGGGGUCGCGCGGGGGAGGGGGCGGGGCCACCCGCGGCCGGGGCAUGCUCACCGUGCACUUCCCCGUGGGUAGCCGCCUGCUCGCGCGCCUGUCCGUGCGGGGGCUCAACCUCACGGCGGCGGCCAACGCGAUGGUCGCCACGCUCGAGGUGAUCCACCUCCACUCCGUCUUCCUCACCGACGCCGCGCUGCGCCGGGUCGUCGCCGCGUGCCCCCGCCUCCGGGAGCUCGAUCUCCGCUACUGCCGCCGCCUCCGACGUAUCGACUUCAGCGCCGUGGGGGUGCCCAACCUCAGGAGCUUCACCAUCGUCGACUGCUCCCGCACCACCGAGAUGCGAGUCCCAGUGGCGCCACGCCUCCGGUCGUUCCGCUUCAGCGGCGCCUUCCUCUCGAGCAACAUCCUUUCCGGUGCUUCAGGGUCUCUUGAGCAUCUCUACCUCUGCUCCGGCGGGCCAGAGACCGGCUUGCCGCCCACCAACUUGCCCACCUCAGUUCCUCGCCUAUCGAACCUCAGUGUCCUCACCCUCUGCAGCAUUGCGCUCCAGGUCUGCUCAGGGAUCUAUGCCAUUUCCUUUCAGCCCAUUUCAUUGCUUACACGCUUAUACUUGUUCGUAUUGCCUUGUAGUACAUCUCUGCUUCCACAGCCAAGGACGUAGUGGAGAGCAAGCUGCACAGCUUGAGAGAGCUCCAUUUCCUCAUGUUUGGCAUGGCCAACUCCAACCUUGCUGACAUCUAUAGCUUCCUCAAGACUUGUUCAUGUCCUCAGUUGGAGCGGCUCUUUGUGCAGGUAUCUGCUUAUUUUUUCAUGCAAAAGUUUGCAUUUGGUUGCUAGUUUGUCUAUGGCCAUGUGAUCUGUUUCUCAACAUGUUCCACUGAACAUGCAGCUCCCGACGAACAUUCAUGAUUCAUUCACGGAGAAUUUCUUGGCGGUAGCGGAGGAAGAGCCACCAAAAGGUGGAUUAGAAAACCUUUGUUUAGCCAAGAUGACAAAUUUCAAGGGGCACCGUAAUGAGAUGCAACUAGUAGAAUUUCUUCUUAGAAAGUCUAGUUGUCUGAAGAAACUAAUUCUGACUGCUCCUACGGAGGAUCACCCUCAAGGACUCCGCAAGAUUCAGUCAGAUGUUCUGCCCAAUUUUCCUAAAACAGAAAUAUUACAUCUGGAAAGAGCUUCAGCAAAUACCCAGAUAAUUUUCAGCGAGCCUGAUGGUCCUCAGAUCCAACCAUUGCAUUCGGAGGUCUUUGUCAGGUUUUAGAUUGAAAUGAGCAAAAUAUUGUUGUAGUCCAGUGUCUGCUCAUUAAUUUUUAGAUUUCUAGCUGUUAGAUAACAGACAUGGGGAAAAGAAAUGUGCAAGGCAUACAGAGUUUGAUAUAUGUUUUCUACAAUUCAUGUUACUGAAAUAUUCUGGCAUAGUGGUUGAAAUGCGAGGUAAUCUGAUCUGCCACAUUUUCCUAUUCUACCAUCCCCAGCCUCUCCUUGCCAGCUUGUGUGCAUGCCUGAAGAAUUGAAUGCUUAUCAGGCAUCUCUUUGGUGCUAGCUUAUUCUAAGCUGCUGUUACACAACCAACCAUCUAUUGGAACAGAACCACCUUCAUUUUAUUUGGGUGGAUUAGUUUUGUUGUACAUUAAAAUCGGUAAGUUAACUGUGUAUUCCAGAUAACUUAAAGAGUUAGCUGGAGCUUGUGCAAUUCUCUUGGUUAAUCCUGAAAUAACAUUAUAUUAUUCUGUCUAGGUUUCUUCUAGAUACAGAAGGAAUCUGAUAGAGCAAAGUUCAUAUAACUUGUCACCUGUUUUUAGUGGUUCCUGUAAAAUGAUGCAUCAGGGUAGCUUGGAAAAUUGUCCUUUUGUAGAUAGGAUUAUGUUACCUUAGUAUCUAUGGACUCUAUCUGGAUUCUCCAUUUGUGUGAAGAUAUGGUUUAAGCUUAGAUAUGACUGGCAGCAUGGAACAUAUUUUUUAUCGUUAGAUGGAUAUGAUUGUAUGAACUUCUGUACACUGAAACUUCCUUGCAGAUUGAAUCCAUGAUAUCUACGCACCCUGUAUGGGGGCUGUUAUUUCUGGUCCUUGCAUCCUGGUAUUGUCUUAUUUGUCUUAUAUCCGUGAACUAUAUAGGUCUUCCCUGUUUGACUAUCUAGCAUCUUGUUUAUAGCUGUUCCCAUGAAGUCCUAUAAGAAAGUGAAUGUAUAUUUGGAACCAUAUUUGAUUCUUUUUUCGUGAUUAGGGGUGAACGUGUUUCAGGACAACAGCUUGACAUUGGGUAGCUUGGAAGUAGCGCUGCAAUGUUGUUGAUGUGUUACCUUCAUGCCAAAAUAACAGGCUUGCCUUACAAUGACAACUAUUAUGAAUUUAUACUUUAUGUGGAGAUUACAUCCUGAUGGUACUAGAUGUAUGUGGAAUUAUUGGAUGAUUAUGUUUUUUUCUUUUAUUGCAUCUUUAUAAAUGUAUGAAUGUAAUGUUUAUUGUUCUGAUAUUUUUAGUGUGAUUAUCCAUAAUUAUCUUCCAAUUUGGUCUACUAUGGCUACUAUACUACAACCAAUCAAAUUUAUUAUUGGCCUUGUAUGGAAGCAGAAUUGCGGAUGGGGGAAAUGAGCUUACUCACUACUAUCAAUUACGAUUUUUUGAGGCUACUGGUUGCAAUACUUCGAUUAACAGGAAAUAAGUUAUCAUGCUAAUUUUUUUAUGACAUAAUUGACAGUGUGCUGUUGGCAGUUUAGUUUAGCCUUAAAGAUUUUAUACUUGGGCUGUUGAGCCAAAUUUAUAUUUGCUAUAUUUGGUCAUCUGGGGGGUCUUAAGUGUUCUUGUUUGAUGUUUGGGCCACUGAGUAGUGGUGGAGAUAAAUGAGGUGAAGUGGUGCUGUGUGCUUAGCUAGCUUUGCAGUGACGAGCCACUAAGGAAUGUUGGGUGUAGCAAUUUCAUGCUGAUGGUUGGUAGUAUUUUCUGCGUGUACCUUGGGGUGUUUGGGGGGGGGGGGGGGGUGAAUCUUUGUGGAAAUUCUAUGGUGCUACUUUUAUGAAGUGAAAGCCAUAUCACCUUAGUGCUUUGCACUUGUGCCUUAUCCUUUCAAACCAUGCAGAGCUGUAGAGCCACACAGCAUAGUGAAAUGAUAUGGAUAGUGUUGGUAAAGGCGUCCAUUAUCUUUGAACCUUCUUAUGCACUUGAAUGUUUGAAGCAGUGAUAUUUGUGCGUAGCCUUCAUAUCUCUCCUGAAUUUAGCACUUCUUUUUGAAAGUUUGGGCUGCUUAGGAAUGUCAAACUACAAGGAAUCGCACUUGAUGUGAAGUUACGGAGCUGGACUUUGGACUUGAUGAUUUAUGAAGCUGAGUGUUACAAGAUGUAUGACAAGCAAUACAGAAUUUCUAUGUUUCUGUUGCAAACAACCUGAUGAUCACUUGAGUACUUGACUAUUAAUAUGCAAUAUAUCGCUGCCUUCGACUCAAUGUAUCUGUCUGUACUGCUCCAGAUGUGGCCACUUUUUGACUUGUUUACAUAUAAUACAAGUGCACACUUCAAGUCUACCUUUGGAGCAAACUAUGUGUUCAUUCAACCCCUGAAAUCCACCCCCCCCCCCCCCCCCCAAUCUUUUAAAUACUGUGACCUGGAAGGCUGGAACCCCCACUGAUCAAUUGUGAUUUCUUCGUUAAUGCCAGAUUUUUUCAUUAAUAUUUUUUAGUCUGUAAUCUGCAAUCAUUAUAUAACAAAUUUGUUGUAAAAAGUACUUUACCUAUCUAUAUCCUCUAAUUAUAUUGCCAACUUGCAAAAUACAGGAAUAAGAGGAUGCUUACAAGAUCUUGAAGAGUGUGGCAUUUGGAAAAGAUUGCUUAUGCUGGUGAGGAAAAGGUGUAUCCUACUUUGUGUAAAUUAGUGGUGGGUCUAGGAUUGACCUUGCAGGGGAGGUGCAUGAUUUUAUUAUUGAAGGCUGGUAUAGUUAUAUCCCCCAUACUUUGUUAAGAUAUGUCUUAUUCAAUCUCUAGGAUAUGUUGGGUAUCUUAGGCAUAUAGGUGACUCUUGUUUGCGACACUACCCAUAGUUCUUUCGAGUAACGUAUGCUAGCUUUUCCUGUGGCUUGAUAAAUAGUCUUCUAUUGAAGGGACUUGUACAUUAACUAACGCAACGUCCAAUUCUAUUUUGACCUCAGAGAUAACUUUCUUUUCUUGUCCCAUUUUUUUAGUAUAAUUAUUAUCUCAAUAAUAUAUUCCUUUGUGUUAGUUUUAGGCUUUGAGCCUUUUGUGGUUCUACCAGGGCAUAAAUAUAAUAUAGUUCUAUCUGUUAUUUGGGCCUUAGCUUUAUGCGAUUCUUUGUAAGAUAUGAAUAUCUCGAAAUUUUCAGAAGAUCCCAACCCAAUUUUCAUGAAGCAUCUUUUCAUGAAUAAAGGUCAUUAGGCCCAGUUUGGUAAUUAAAUACACUUAUUAAAUCAAAACUUUGAAUCUUUAACACUGACAUAUCGAUUUAGCCAUUAUGUAUUAGUUUUAUGAAGAGUUGAAAACUUGAGAUGCAUUCAGAUGCUACAUUUCUAAUAUUCGGGCAUCUGAACUAUCUAGUAUUCUAGUGUGCUGUCAGUCUGCAAAUUACGUCUUGUCCUUUGGUCAUUUCUGCAAGUACCUGAACGUGUUUAUGGUCCUGCACUCAUAUUUUAAAUGUUGAUGUUCAGAUGAACGUUUAUAUGGUCCUGCACUCGCAUUUAAAUGUUUGGUAAAUGGAUGUUUCAUUAAUAUUGAAGGGAAAGUUCUAACUUUCUAGGGAGUCAAGCCGAGGGAGAAAGCAAUAUUCUUAUUAUGUAAUAACCAGAAAGAACCAAUCAUACAUCAGCUGAUGAAAUGUCUGCAUACGGCAUGGCUGUUUGGGCUGCUCUUCUUUUCCCUUGCAACAAAUUGGAUAGGGUUGCUGGCAUGGCAAGAUAAAGUGGGGCUUGCCAGGUGGCUUCUACUUCCAAUCUUUCUCAGCACAUCUUGCAUUACUCUUUAUCCUUAAUAAAACCAAGAUCAAUUAAAUCACAAAAUUAUAUGUAUGUAUGCUUUCUUAACGUCUCUUAAACUUUUGGUGUCCUUUUUCGUACCAGCUUUUCCUCUGUCCUUCCACUCCACUGUAUUGCAACAGUAUCUGUGCAGCUACUCAGAUAUGGUCUGCAAGAAACCUGCUAGUUGGGUGGGUGGGUGAGUGGGGUUGUCUGUGAUUUAGAGUUAGGACUGCAUUUAUUUGUAUGCCUCAUGGUCGUGGUCCUUGGCCUAUGUGCUACGGUCCAUACGGGGUACGGGCCCAAUUUAUUAUCACUGCUGAUUUACUUCAUCUGUUUAAGAGUGAACUCAAUUAGUUUACAACUUUUGUGAUACAAAAUUGAAGUUAUUAUAUUUGUAUUCAAAAGUACUUUAAUGUUCAUAUCAGAAAAUGAUAUAUUAAUAGAGUAAUGGUUGGUUAAAGUCAUGUCCUAACUAAACAAAAUAUGUGUUAGACAGGGAGAAGCAAAUAGUCCUACCCCAUCCACAAAGUUGGAGAGAUUAACAUUGCAUGUCUAUGCUGCCUACAGAACCCUUCAAACAAGGUUUGGGUACAAAAGUCUCGCCAAAAAGAAAGGUAGCCUACAGAAUUAUCGGCAGCUGUAAGUUAAAAAAUGGGCGACUACUGUCUACCUAAUACUAACUGAAAGGCUGGAAUUCCAUCGAUGCUAUUUUACUUCUCUUGAUACACUCAUUUCUGGGGCUAUCUACUCACCCUUGAUUUGUUCCCUUCAACCAUACUUUUGUGCUCCUAGGUCCUUGCUCUUUAUAGCUACUAGGUUCUACAAAAAAAAGUGGGCGCUGGGUAGACAUUUCAUGCUCAUCCAUGUGUUGCAAUUUGCAAUGUUUUUUUUUUGAGACAGCAAUUUGCAAUGUUAUGUAGUGGCACUCGUAGGAGAUAUGAAAAAGAACUUUUGAGCAUAUUAUAUGAUCUUUCAAGAAACUUUUGUCAUCCUUCGCUAUCUCGUAUUGAAUUCUAUCGACCAGCAUUUUUUAGAGGAUAUUGAGUUUGAGGACCAGAAACGCUUCCUUGCAGGUGAACCCGGUCGCUUGGCCAUUUUACAUGGGUGGGGCGCUGGGCUGGCCGGCUGGGCUCUGGUGGUAGCUGAGAUUAAAUAGCAUCAAGCAGGUACACCAGGACACUGCAACUUUGUUUGCAUAUUCAGAGGGAUUAUUUGUCUGGCAACUGCAUUCAAGUCUUGAUGUAGUACAAAAUUCUAAUUCUUUUUUUUUGCCUUUGAUUGAGAGAGGUUAUUAAUUCGAUAGCUGCAUUCAACUCUUGCUGUGCAAUGUUCUUAUUUUUUGUAUCUUUGAAUUUGUAGCUUUAGCUCCAAAACUUUAUCUCCAGAGUUUCCUGGAGGCAUAUCAAAUAAUUAAUGAUGCUGUCUGGAGGGUCAAAUUUGGUUCUAAUUAUUACUAUUAUUAUCCCUUAGGAUUAGUACUGGCCGUACAUUCUGAACUAACGAAGGUGCACUGGUACAUCACGUGGGCGGUGGUACUAAUAGACCGGCAGUACUGCACUACUACUGGCAGAUGGUCCAAGUCCAUACCUGCUCAGUCAGCCUCACCAACCGGAUUGCCUGUUUCGAUCACGUGCACCGCGUGUUAGAAUGUCCCCCUUACAAAUACCUCUUGUAAUUAACAAAAAGAACUGCACCUGUUCAGAUGCCCUUCAAAUCGCUUCAAAUUCAACACCAUUUCGGUGUUUCCAGAUCAUCCAACAGCACAGGAAUAUGAAGACUUGAGUAGUGGAUCUCCGGUAUCGUUGGUGGACGAACGUCCACUCCAACAUGGCGAUAGAAAGCCGCACGGAAUGUUGAACAAUUACGAGUUCGAGUUGCGUAGCCUUGCGAUUUAAAAUUGAAAUUUUCUCUACUUGAUAAAUUCAAGUGAGCAUUCGUUUGGAUCCUUGGAAUUAAAUUCUAUUCUAAUAAUUAUAAUUUAGAUAUAGUUAAUUAAGCUAAUAUAGUUAUACGUGGAAUAUAUUUGUAUAUUAUUAUUGGCUAUAUGGGAGAGAUACUUAUGUACUAUACUUCUGCUAUACUUCUGCUAUAAGAAAGCGAGUCGAAGAGUGUGCUAUAGGUUGUACAUUAGAAACAUAAUAUGAGAUCUACGGAAUCAAUUUUCAUACUCCACCCCCAUAAAUAUAAGAUAAACUUGUAUAUAUAUAUAUAUAUAUUGGUAAAUUGUGAAACGUCAUAUUCCAAGACAAAUAGUCUACUCAUAGAUUCUAAUUUCUCAAAAUGAAGAGAUCCAAACAGGAGGCACUAGAGAAUUUAACUUUCUUGUUUAUCUUAAUGACGAAAUAACAUAAAUUUUCUCUACUUGAAAAAAAGAACGGAAUGGUGGUUUAUCUUAAUGGUUCUGAAUUUUCGACUACCGGAAUAAGUUAACGUUUAUGAACUUUAUUAGAUUGCCAGUCAAAUAAAUUUCUGAGGUGGAAUAUAUGUAGCAAUUAAAGAAAGGAGAGAACGAAAAAUAAGAAAAUGGUAUGGCGUGCUCGAAACCGGGUUCGAAGAACAAGCGAGUUGCGCGUUGGGAGAAUCUAUCGUUUCUUCCCAACGCAUUUUCCUCGAUCUCCCGACUGCUGUGCCCGCCUCCGCCCUGGCGCAGGUGGCGCUCCAAGAGCCGGCGGCCCUCCAGACGUCGUUGCUGCCCGAGGUUUGCCCAACCCGGAAGGGCCCAGCGGCGGCGUGGUCAUCCCCUCCAGUCCGUCGAUACCGGCAGACCCUACCUGCGGCAGCGGCGGACAAAUCCACGAGUGGCGGCGCCUGGAGGCUGAACUAGCUGCGCGCGCUGUGCCGGACUGCCUGUGCGGUCGGCGCUGGCGGCUUGGGGUGCUGCAGUGCUGCUGCCUGAUAGCGUGCGUCCUAGCGGUGCGGCCUUGCGGCGCCGCGUCGGAGCGGGAGUGCGGCACGCCGGUGUGUCGCCGUGCGCAGGCGGAUUCCCGCCGCACACGCACUUAGAAGCAGCCAAGCAGGUCAGUCCUUGAUUGUUGAUUCAAUAUUCAGCAACGAACUCUACCAGUGGGACAUCAGCAGCGAGCCGAUUCAGCAAUCAGUUUCUUCCCUUUUCGUCUCCCCUCUACCGUAGUCAAAUAAUUGGAUUUCAUCCCCUUCCUAGUGUUCAAGUAAAUAAACGGAAUGAAGUAGAGUUAGCGAGUUAAUAGAAACAAUUAGUGCUACUGAUAACUGAUCUAAGGUUCCUCCUCUUCUUAGCUAGACAGGUAAUUUGCGAUCGCUGAUCCUUGUACAUGCAUGUUCGUAACUAUUUUUUCCCCUCUGCCAUAGACACUUAGCACUGGAGAAGGUUAUGUCUAAGAUAUUUAUUCUCUUCUCUCUCCUGUAGACACAACCCAUGGACACUUAGCAUUGAACCUUAUGACGCAGAAUAGUAGUAGUUUAGUUAUCAAGAUGAAUGCAUUAAUACUUAAUUGGUCCUUGUACAUGUAACCUGCCACUCAACUUCACUAGAUAGCGGAUGCCAUGCCAAGCUUUAUAUAUUGAUAUUCAAGUGAUUGAAUUUAGCCUUCUUGUUUAUGUGGCUGUUCAUAAUUUGGUUGCAUUGGUUAUUUGUAAAUUUAUUGUCGUAUAGUUUGAUUAUGUAUAUUUAUCUGCAGGACUUAAACAAUUGAAUAAAACAAGCCAUGCUCAAAAGCAUACAACACUGUUAUGAUCUCGGGCCAACAUAUCAACUUCUUCCUCCCCAAUUUGCUCCACGAAGGCUCUAGACACAUUUAUUUUUACCUAGGAGCAACAUGUACUGCUCCUCAACAGUUUUAUUAUUUUGGUUAGCUCUACCAUGAUCCCAUCCAGCAAGACCCUUACCCUUCUAAUAGCAACAUUCUCAUGUUGUCAAGUUGCCACAGCGUAAUCCAAUAGCUCAACAAGAAACAGAUAGAAGACCCCAACCGAUGCAGAACCAUAAUGAUGCAAAAUUUUAUUGUGUACUGUCCAUGCUCGCUAAAAUACAAGUCUUAUUAGAUCACAUUUCUCAUCAGACACAUUCUGUAACAACAAUAAUAGCCAGUCUGGACUAGAAUAAUAGCCAUAGGUCACCUCUUGCUCUUUUUUUAUAUAUAACUCUUGCUCGUAUCCUUUGUCUCCUCUCUGAUACCAUUGCAAUUCCAGGGUAGAAGGAGGAGGCACCUGCACAAUGACGAGGCAACAAGGGAUACCAGGAAGGGCAACCGGGCAACCUCUUGGGCCCUAGCAGUUUAUCAAUGGUAUUUGGAUAUUAGAGUAGGAAAGAAGUGGCAUUGGAGCAGUCUUCGAGGGCACAUCACCCGUUCUUGAGCAGGGUCUCGAGCGCCCCAGAGUCCAGAACCUUCUAGAAGCAUCAGGAUAGCUAGAGCAUCGCUCCAACCCUGGUGUCAACCAUGUCGGAGAAGCUGGCCCCCGAGAAGCGCCACGCCUUCCUGCACAGUGGUGAGCUGCCUCCCCCCCAUCUCACCUUCCAUGGUCUGCCUCCUCCAGGGCUGCCCCCACCCUUCUGACCUAGGAUUCGAUCCCCACCCCCCUUCCAUGAGCAGGGCAGAAGGUGUUCGAGUGGGACCAGACACUGGAGGAGGUGAACAUGUACAUUGAGCUCCCCAAGGGUGUGCCCACCAAGCUCUUCCGCUGCACCAUCCAGGCGGGCCAUGUGGAGGUUGGCAUCCGUGGCAACCCACCAUACCUCAACGUCAGUGCUUCUCCUCAAUCUCCCUUUGAGAUUUGGUUCCACUCAAUUACCUGCUGAUAUAUGUUUUUCCUUUUCCUCCUUGGACUCUGUGGCGUGUGGUUGGGGAUUGAUGCCCCUUUUUGGUGAUUUUGCAGCACGAUGUGGCGCACCCCGUGAAGACAGACUCCUCGUUCUGGACAAUAGGUGAGUCCCAAUUCCAUCACCUCUGCAAUUCUUGCUCUUCAAAAUUUAUCGUUUUCACUGAGUGUGGAUGUGUGAAAUGUUGUGGCCUCUGGAUCUAGACAUUGAUUUGUGUAUCAUUUCUGACAUCAUUUGAGGACAGUUAUUAAAACUUUUGUUCUGUUUAAUUCAUCUGCAAUGCAAGCUAAUUGCAUUUGGGGAUGACCUUUUGCUACAUUUAGCAAUCAAGAUGUUUCUGUGCUGUGGUGAAUUUUAGAACACCCAGUCGCUUGUGACUUGUUAGUGAUAGUAAUAUAGCAUGAGAUUGUUUUUUAUAUCGAUGCCGUAAGGAUAUUGUAACAAGAACCUGCAGCCACUCACAAAUAGUACUAUGGAGAUGUUUGUAUUGGCAUUUAAGUCAGCAGCACCUUUUCCCACUCAAAUAGUUAUUAACACGGAGGAUGGUGAUAACAAUACAGAGGAUGGUGAGAUGCAUAUCACACUGCAAAAAAGAGAGAAGGGGAAGACAUGGUCAUCUCCAAUACAAGGGCAAGGUCUCUUGGAUCCAUAUGCUGCAGAUCAAGAGCAAAAACGGCUUAUGCUGCAAAGGUUUCAAGAAGAGGUACACCCAACUUUUUGUACUAGCUGUGUUGAUGUGCAUCCCUUUUUUCAUAUAUUUGGUCAUGCUUUGCUGUUGGAUCCUAUUAUUUUCAGUUAAUUUAAGUGUUUUUAACUCACAUAUGAUCACCUGACUACUGACAUAUGAUCUGACAGCUUGAUGGGAUAGACAAAUAGUCGGAACAUAUUUUGUCUUUAGUAGUGUGCCCGUGGAAAGUUGAUACUUCAUCCCUUUCCCUAGACAAUGUACUUGUCAAAAUUACCCUGAAUGAACCAUUUUUAGGAUAAUAUGUCCAGGCUGUUGGCAGUUAUUAGCAUUUAGCAGUUUUGUGACUCUGAUUUUGUCAAACAUUGGAUAAAUGAGGCUUUUUGCAAGAUCCUUUUGAGAACUGAAACAAUGUGUAUUUCAAAAGAAAUUGGUUGAUGUGAUAAUCCAACAUGACGUGUUCUAGCCUUAUCAUAUGCGUUUUCAGCUUGAAUGUGCAUUUACAUUUUCUAAUUCCAUUAUUUACCCAUAUGUAGAACCCAGGGCUCUGACUGAAACGCCCAGCCUGAACGGCAUAAUUCUUGCUAUGUUCCUGCUGCUAUCCUCAGCAUCUUGUUAGAUGCAGCAGCAACUGGUUGGUGUUUACCCUUGAAAUAAUGAAUUAGUGAUGAUGUGUGACCCACCAUUCCAUGACUCUGUUUGUGACUUCAGUUGAUUGUAAAUAUCCCUGAACCGGGCAACCUGUGCUUGUUUACCCCCGAGCUGAUUAUAGCUAUAGGGUCAUCAUUCGGUGCCCGACUGCUCGUUGAUGAAUCAGUAUUUGGGAGAAUUGAUGACGUGGCAGUCUAAAUUGGCUUCCGGGAUGCUCUAGUGUCUUAAAUUUUUAAUUGCCAGCCGUUUGAUACACUCAUUCAUUCUUGCUUCUCUUGAUACACUCAAUUUCUGGGGUUACUCACUCCAGCUCUGUUCCCUUCUACCUUAUUUUUGUGCUCCUAGGUCCUUGCUCUUUAUAGCUCGCUGGCCCCGGCCAUAGGGUUUACAGCUCAUUAUUUUUUGAAUAAAACUACGACAACCCUGAGGUUGCCUGAACUUCAUUGCUUUUGGAGACAAAUAAUUACAAAGAUGACAAGGAACUUUCUUUUUUUGAACAAGACAAGGAACUUUAGAAGUAGCCAGAAGGACAGCGGGAAGAUGUGCAAAGGAAGCUAGAGAAAAACAGCUAGUCCUAUAUUACAUCGGGAAGAAAUUACUCCACUCUACUAAUUUUGCAUUAUCAGAAGGAGAAGAACAUCUGUUAGACCACAACGUUAGGUCGUCCCUACGUCUCCGAGAGAUCACCAAGUUUGUUUCAUCCUCAUGUCUAAAAACUUUUGCAUUCCCGCAUUUCCAAAUCUUCCAGAGUAUGCAUUUCCAAAUGUUUAAAGCUCAUUACCAUUCCCAUGCUGACAGUUAUGAACAUCGCUUUGUCCACGACUGGUCAUUCAGCCCCCGUGAGAUUCUGAGCUGGCCACUCUUACCUGUGUUUCCUGCCAGCCCUCCUUGUGGAGCAUGAACUCAUCAUCAUCCCUUCUCCCGGCUGGAUUGAAGCAAAUGAGCAGAACAUAUCUGCAGGAUGCAAUAGCCACAGUACAGCGCCCCAAUUCCGCGCUUGGAUUGUAGCAGCCACAGAAAGAUUUUACCAAGAAGAGCCGGCGGCUUGGCGACGACGAUGACCAACACUGCGGCGAACAUCAGUUUCUGCAACAGAUGGAGCCGACAGCUUCCGUUCCUGUCCCCCGCAGCAUCAGCCGCCAGCGAGCCCAGCCCCUCUCGCUCGCUUAUGCAACAGAUGGUAUGCAGCAACGAGAGAUGCUCGCCGCAGAUCCGGCCGGCCACCUGCAGCGACAUCGACGACUAGCGCGCUGCGAGGUCGGCUCGGCUGGGCGUGGCGCGUGGCGGCGGCGGAGGAGCGGGCCAAGGAGAAACGGACGCGGCAGGGAGAUACGACGGGCGUUGGGGACGAGCGGAGGUCCGGGGGAGGAGCGCAAGCCCGUUACCGACGUCCAGGCGAGGCCGCCGUCGCCGGAGCCGGGCGGGAAAGGCAGCUACUGGGAGGCAGGACUGCAGGAGGGGCUAUUUUGCAAAUAAGUUGGAUCGUGUUUGCACAUAACCCCUCAGGGGGGUAAAUGAAACUUAAUAAGGGGUUUUAUGUAAUUAAUUGGAUCGGGAUCAAUAAUCGCGAUCCGGUUUAGGGUGUUUUAUGCAAAGUAUCACGUCCCCGUCCCUAUCGACAUGGCCGGCUCCGAGCUCCCCGAACCCGCCGCCUCUGCUUCUCUCCCCGCUGGCAGGAGCAUCGUUUCCCCGUCCCCAAGCUACCCGUUCGCACUCUGAUGAGGAGAAGCAAUGAGACGAGACCGUCGACUUGUCUCGAUCCACCGCCCCGGCCAUGGAAUGGAGACCGUCGUCUUCGUCGACGGAUCGGACUCCCGCUAAGCCGCUCGCCGACCCUGCGGGAUUGCCGCUCCGGCUCCGGCCGAGCGGUUCCUGGUCGUCGCUUCUUCCAAUGUAUCAGUGACACCAUUCUGAAUUUCUGAAUUCUGAUUGAACUCGUCCCGUCCAUGCAUGUCUCCAUCAUCGGCCAUCGCUCAGCUUGUCUCCCGCCGCCUGAACCGCACCACGCCACCACGAGCGCACGCAGUCCACUGCUCUAUAUAUUCGCGCGAUCGCCGCCACGUACUCGCUCGUUCGCCCGCUCGCUCACUGCGCCGCCCGUCCACCCGCCCCUCCUUCGCCCUCUCGAUCGUCGUAGCGCGAUCCAUCGAGCUCAUCGCCGGCCAGCUCCAUUGCCCGCGCCAUGGCGGCCGCAGCUGCGCGUUCCACUCCGCCGCGGCGUGUCCCGGCGCCGCAGGUGGCCCUCGUCAUCCUCCUCCUCUUCGUCGUGCUCGUGUGCGCGCCGUGCGGCGCCGGCGCCAGGCCAGUGCGCGAGGGGGUGCGUAGCCAUACAGAUAAUGCGCGGGCGCGGACGUCGCCGGCGCUCGACGUCGGUCGCUGGGCGAGCGGGAGCGUGGCUACGGGGGCGGGGGCGCACCGGGUGGCCACGGUCGGCGGCGGCGCUCCCACGCCGCCCUCCGGCCCGUCGCAGAACCACAAUUGACCGGUGGUGCUCACCGAGCUCGCCGCCGCCCUGGAGAUCAAGAUUUCCGGCUGUCCGCUCCAGAGCAUCAUCAACAGAUACCUGGUUUAUCCUUCCUUGAAAAUGCCGGUGUUUAACUAGUUUCAACGUGUAAAUCAGCUGCCUUUGUCCACGUCAUUAGACAGUAGAUGCGUGCUAUUUAUUACUCAGUCUGCAGUUAUAUAUAGGCCAGUGGCCAGAGCAGGAUUUGAUUCGACUAAGUUUUGUUCAACCUAUCGUGCCAGUGUUUCUUUCAUUCCUCUUUGCAGUUUAAGCAAAAAAAAACUCAGUUUUUCGUCAUAUUUUGGUAGUUGUUCUUGAUGGAGUAUAGUUGUUCAGUUAAGAACUUAAGAUGUGGCGUGCUACUAUAGACAGCAGCUGACUGCGUCUCAGCUCAGCUCAGUCUCUCUCUCAUGCAUCGUUCAUGCAGUCAGCCGGUCAUGGACUGUGCUAUGGAGAUCAACCCUACGCCAGCAAACCAUGUUGCCGUGUUGGUGCUACGGCCCCAAUGGCCAGGCAGUGUCCGUGACGGAUCUCACCUGCUCCCACUCACCAACACCGUGCAUGCAUUUGCAGUGGAUGCGUCAUCUGAGACCAAUUCCCAAACUGAAAACUUCAGCUGCCGUGGAAUUUCAAAGGCCGAUCAUCCUCAGUACAGAAUCCACUACGGCUACGGUGCGUACAAGUCCUAUACAAGCCGUAGCUUCUUUGUGCAGCAGAGGAUCAUACCCUGGCGGAUGGAUUCGCUUGAAAAAUGACCUGUACAACAGCAGCUCCAAGCUUGAUAUCCAUCUGAAGGGUAGACUUGCAAAUUGAACUUUGCAUUUGCCUCCAGUUUGCAUCAGUUCCUGGGUGCGGUGCGGCGCAUGAUGCAGCAUGCUAAAAUUGGAAACCGCGGUGUCCAAGAUUAGAAGCUUCAAAGCCGUGGUUGACCUUGAAACCAUGGCGACGGGCGUUCCUGGGGGGACACGGACUCGCGCCCGGGAGAGGACACGACGACCGGCACGCGUCCUACGAUUUAGGACGGGACCGCCGCACCACUCGCCGGGCCCUUCACCGGUUUAAGUGCUCGCCGCUCCCGCCCUGACGCAUUCUUCCCCCCGCCACGCAAGGACGAACAGGAGGGGCCCACACCUCCUGACGCCCCCUUCCCGCCGAGAGAGUCGUCGAUCGAUCGACCGGCGGACCGGUUUGGUUCCGCCGCCGCCGGGGCCGGGCACAAUGGCGGGAGCCGUGAUCGUGCACCACACCACGAGGUACAAGACGUACCCCGGCGAGAUCACCGGCAUCGUCGUCUUCGCCUGCCUCAUCGCCUCCGUCGCCGGCUGCAUCUUCGGCUAUGACAUCGGCCUCACCUGUGAGUGAGCACCAUGGCAUAGAUAGGCUAGAAUGCCAAAUCAGGGGAUUGCUCUGCUCUGACGGGGGGUUUCUUUGCUUUCUGCUGUUGUUGUCGCCGCCGCCAUGGUGAUCGUGCAGCCGGGUUGACGUCGACGGAGCCAUUCUUGGUCAAGUUCUUCCCGUCCAUCUACGAGGAGACGAAGAAGCAGGUGGUCGUGAACCAGUACUGCAAGUUCGACAGCCAGCUCCUCACGCUGUUCUGCUCCUCCCUCUUCCUCUCCGCGAUGACCGCUGCCUUCUUCGCCGGCCCCUUGACCCGGGCCUUCGGCCGGAAGUGGACCCUGUUCACCGCCGGGUCCGCGUACGUGUGCGGCGCGGUCCUCGGCGGCGUGUCCGUCAACUUCCCGAUGCUGCUCACCGGCCGGAUCCUCGUCGGCGCUGGCGUCGGGCUCUCCAUCCAAGCGUCCCCCCUCUACAUCUCGGAGAUGGCGCCCGCGCAGCAGCGCGGGAUGCUCAACAUCAUGUUCCAGCUGAUGAUCACGGUGGGGAUCCUGACGGCGAACAUGACCAACUACUUCGCGUCCAAGAUCCCCGGCGGGUGGGGGUGGCGCAUCGCCGUGGCGUUCGGCGCCGUCCCCGCCGGCGUCAUCGCGCUGGGCUCGCUGGCCAUCCCGGACACCCCGACGUCGCUCAUCCAGCGCGGCGACACCGCGACGGCGCGCAAGACGCUGGCCCAGAUCCGGGGCGUGGGCGACGUCCGCGAGGAGUUCGACGACCUGUCGACGGCGAGCGAGGAGGCCAAGGCCGUGGAGAACCCGUGGCGGGAGCUCUUCUUCGGCGGCAAGUACAAGCCCCAGCUGACGUUCUCGCUGCUCAUCCCCUUCUUCCAGCAGCUCACCGGCAUCAACGUCAUCAUGUUCUACGCGCCCGUGCUGUUCAAGACCGUCGGGUUCAAGCAGAACGCCUCCCUCGUGUCCUCCAUCAUCACCGGCCUCGUCAACGUCUUCUCCACCUUCGUCGCCGUCUUGACCGCUGACAAGGUCGGCCGCCGCGCCCUCUUCCUCCAGGGCGGCACGCAGAUGAUCAUCUCCCAGGUCGGCCGGCCGCUGCUCAUCUUCUUCUUCUUCCCUCCCGAGCUUGCCCAUGAAUGUGUCUGAAUGCGUUAUUCUGUAUCUGAUGCCGUCGCCAUGAUCCAAAUUCUUGCACGCAGAUCCUGGUGGGCACCUUCAUCGGGCUGCAGUUCGGCAUGAGCGGGACGGGCGCCAUCUCGGAGCAGUAUGCCAUGUGCAUCGUGCUGUUCGUGUGCGUGUACGUGGCCGGGUUCGCCUGGUCGUGGGGCCCCAUGGGGUGGCUGAUCCCCAGCGAGAUCUACCCGCUGGCGGUGCGGUCAGCGGCGAUGAGCGUCACGGUGGCCGUCAACAUGUUCUUCACGGCCUUCAUCGGGCAGAUCUUCCUGACGCUGCUCUGCCACCUCCGGUUCGGGCUCUUCUACUUCUUCGGCGGCUGGGUGCUGCUCAUGACGCUCUUCAUCGCCAUGCUGCUGCCGGAGACCAAGAACGUGCCCGUCGAGGAGAUGGCGCACAUCUGGAAGAAGCACUGGUUCUGGAGGAAGUUCGUCGUCGACACCUCCCCCGACGCGCGCAGCGCCGAGAUGAGGAAGAGGAUAGCGCUAGAGAUGAGCUAGCUGAUGAUGAGGCCGAGCAAAGCCUCGUCAUCAGCCAAGUACAUUUGAUGGAUCGAUAGAUAGAGUGCAGAACACACAUGAAUGUUGUUGUAGAUUUGAUCAUACAUACUCCUAGCACAUCUUGUACUAACUAAACUGUUUUACCUUCUCUCUUUUUUUCUUCGGUUUCAUGUGCCGAGUUGUCAGCAGCAUUUUUUUUCUUUUUAAUUGAAGAAGAAUACAGAACGAUUUAUCAUCCAGUAAUCUCACGUGGAGUGUGCUACUGUGAUCACAAUGAUCGUUCUUCUUUAAGCAUCACUUUUAGUAGUUCCCACUUAUCAUCCAGUACAAUUGAAGUCCUUUUCUGUUCACUUUCCCUUUUCUCUACCUUUUUCUAAGUAUUUAAAUUCCUUUCUUUUUCUGUUCACUUUCCCUUUUCAAGAUUCUUUUAGGCAAAACUAGCUAAGCCAGCCUACAAGGAAUUAGGUGGAUCCAAGAUCCAUGCUACGAAGAAGCAAAGCACCCAAACUCUCUUGUCAGUUUCAAGAUCUUGACUUUCAACCAGCAAUCCGCAUACAAAACGCACAAAGGGAAAUGAGUACAAAUGAGGUCGUAGCAUCAGGUUUCGGCAAAAUUUGUAGCAGAAGCGCUAACCUUGCCGAUCCUGACUUUCAACUAGCAAUUGACUUUCAAGAUCCUGACUUUCAACUAGCAAUUCACGAACAAAACCCGAAGGGGAAAUUAGUGAUCUGGAUGAGUACUCACAAAACGCGCAGGUAACUUAAAUUUCACACACACAAGUACGUGUUCUUAGAUUACAGGGAUACUCUGCUGCUCCAAACACCACUCUGGGACUUGCUAUUUACAGAAAGCUCUUAGCUAUGGCUUCCAGCAGCUCAGACCCAAACUGACCGACGCGACGACGACGAGCAGUCGAGCAAACAGCAGAGUGGUGCAAGACAACAGCAGCAAGCAACAACCAGUGGUGGUGGUAGUACUAUGGUACAGCACAGUACAGAUCCGGCCGCCGGAAGCACGCCGGAACGCCGCGGGAGCUCGCCGACCGAGCAGAGAGAGCGUAGCAUCACUUGGGCCCCCAGAGCAGCAGGUGCAUCACCUUGGCCGUCUUGCCGUGGUCCUCGCGCCCGCCGCGCCGCCCCGGCUGCGGCUGCUGCUGCCGCCCCGCCGCCACGCCGGCGUCGCGCGCCGUCAGCGCGCGCCGGAGGGCCGCGAGCUCCGGCCACCUGCUCUCCCGGCCGCCGCCGCCGCUCAUGGCUCCUGCCGCAGCUGCUGCGCCACCGUAGCACCUCUCGGCUCUCGGCUUCUGCUACAAACAAAUCAUGCCGUUAGCAGCUAACUCUACUCACCAGCACCCACCAGGCCGGCCACUUAUAUAUAGCGGCGAGGAGCCGGCGGCGAGCCUGCCAGCGAAGACGUGACGUGUCCAGACUCCAGCGGAGGGCCCGGCGCGGCAGCUGGGGAUAAGCGGUAACAAAUAUCGCGCCGCGUUCUUAUCAAAAGAAAAAAAAUAUCGCG
RNAcentral lists this long non-coding RNA (71732 nucleotides) under Panicum hallii. RNAcentral's name for it is "long non-coding RNA (PHAL_LNC000011)". Lineage: Eukaryota; Viridiplantae; Streptophyta; Magnoliopsida; Poales; Poaceae. The record is from RNAcentral.